This 76248-nucleotide long non-coding RNA is filed under the name Sorghum bicolor (sorghum). Its description in RNAcentral is "long non-coding RNA (SBIC_LNC010464)". The record is from RNAcentral. Lineage: Eukaryota; Viridiplantae; Streptophyta; Magnoliopsida; Poales; Poaceae.
CCAGCUUUUCAUUUGUCACCUGCAAGUCGUUAUCAAGUCCCUCUGUGUGCAGCUUCACUUUCCUUUCAAAAUGUUGUAUGAUGCCCUUAGUGCGAGGUGUAUGUGGUGUUUCGUUACCAUCAUCUGCCCCUGGCAUGGUUCAAAGACAAAGACAACAAAAAGGCAAGUGAAGAAAUAAAAGCCCUACAACUACUAGGAUGUAGCUACAGCAAGUCGCUCACACUCAACCUGUAACACAAGUUCUUACCAAUUCUUACCUUGCUUGACAGGAGGGGUCGUCUGCCAACAAGUGUACAGCAAUGGACGAAGUGUAUCGGUGCUGCAGCACAAGACCUGUCAAGCUGUAGAGUAUGUGGAGCUAUAGGUGGGCUGAAACAAGGAACGAACUAGCACCACGUUAGUUAUAAAAGCGAGCUGAAUAAGCGUUCGACGAUGGUACUGUGCUGGUCCUAUGCUAGACCGUGCUAGAGACGCGAGCCUGGACACAAAAGAAAACCACAGCACACCCCCGAAAACAAGGUGGAACAAACCUAAAAUCAAUAUGAAAAACAGCCCCUUCUUUUUUUUCUUUUGAAUCUUUUCUCUUUUUUUUUCCUUUUUUUUUCUUUUUUUUGGGCAACCUCAAAAACUGAUUAUAUGAACAAAAGAAUACAAAAGAGCAACUUGCUACACACACUUUUUUCCGAAAGUACAGGGGUAUUCCCGUAAAAAGAAGAAUACAAAAGAGCAAUUCUCUCUCUCUCUCUAGAGUAAGGCCGAACAAGUAUGGAGUUAUCCUUCUUUUUUUUAUCACGUUGGUGGAACUCAGAUUGGAACUCUACUCGAUCCGGACCAAGACCACAGUUCAAUUCGGACUUCGCAACAGAUUCGACAGAGAGAAGAUAUGGUAAUACUCGGCUGUGUAUAGAUGGUGACAAGAACUCGAAACUCUAAAGGACUAGACACUAAAACCAGCAACUCGACACAAACCGAAGCAACGCAAAUUCAACAAGCCCUAACUAAAACGGUACUAGCCAAGGCACAAAGGUUUAAUAGGAUUAUGGAAAAACUAAUCUACUAUAUUUUUUUGGCUUUUCUGGACUAUAGGAAAUUAAUUAAAAACAGCAAAGGAUUAGAAGUCUCUCACCGAAGAACCUUGCUCUGAUACCAACUGAUGCGAACCCGCUAGGUUUUUGCCUGAUCUUUUGAUGAGAGACGGGGAUAACUCGAUUGGUGGAUGGAGAUGACGUUCACGGCCCGACUACAGCCCUCAAGACCACGCCUUAGCAACCGAUACACCACGUCCAAUAGCCGUCACGAUCUUGUGGAGCGCGACAACCAGCCCCUAGGGCUCCCGUCCUGCAAGCAAUCGAAGAACUAGCAAGAACGAGGAAACAAGCACUGAAUUUGCAAGAUGAAUUGAAGGUUUCAAACUGAAUCUGAAUCAACAAUGGGGUUCCGAAGACAAGAAGACGGGCGGCUGAUCCUGCACGCGCGCCUACAAGCAAGUAGCGAAGGCUAAACUUGAUCUAAACAAAACCCAACGAUCAUGGCGGCUCUAGAGAGAUAUAAGUAGAUGGAUUGACGACCAAAGAGGUGUUGGGGUCGUCCUCCAACCCUAGGACGCAUCCCUAAUGGACCCAACUUGAUACAUGGGCCAUCAGCCCAAAAUGAGGUGACGCAGCACCCUGGACAGCAAGACCUAUCGACGGUAAUUGGGUCAUUGCCGCUGCUGCCGAACAGGUAUUGAUGUGGGACUUGAUUCAUAUGAAAGUAGACUUGAUAAGCUUUCCAACAAGUCCUGAAGCGCCUGAAUCCGUAUCCGUAUGCAACCGUGGUAACGGUCACAAGUUGGCGCUUUGCUGCUGUCCGAAUCCAGCGAGCGUGAGUCCUUCUCCCUUUCGGUCUUCUCCUUGGUUUCUAAUCAAAACAAGAGUGCACGCGUUUCCAUUGUCUAAACAAGAUGGACACGAGCUUAUCAAGGAACUCACUUGAUUACUAAGUUGACGAACACGAGCACGAGUAAGAGGACCAGCUAUAGGUUGUGUCAGAGAGGAUGUAUCGCUGGUGUUGAUGUCCUCAUCAAUAUGUGCACGGUUUACGCCUAAUGCACCAUAGGCUAAGAAACCUUUUUAAAAGCACUCAGUGGUACUCGUAGUUGAACAGGCUCAAGUGGAGGCUCGAUUUUGUCUGUUCGGAUAUAGUGCUAAUCUUGAUGCAAGAUAGUUACACAGUUUGCAUGCAGCGUACUAUAUGUUAAGAAAUCAAUUUGGACGCACCCAAUGGAACUCCUAGAUUAUGUGUGUCAUAUGGAAUCUCGCUUCGGUCUGUUUGGAGACAAUGUUAGUUUCGGUGCAAGGUUGGUGCAUAGUUUGUGCCUAAUGCACCAUAAUCUAAGAAACCAUUUUGGACGCACUUGUUGGUCCUCCUAGGUGAAGGGGCUCAACUGGAUGCUCGGUUCGGUCUGUUUGGAGAUAGUACUAAUCUUGAUGCAAGAUAGGUGCACGGUUUGCAUGGAAUGUAUCAAAUGCUUGGAAAUCAAUCUGGACGCACAUGAUGGAACUCCUAGAUGACGUGUGUCAUACAAAAUCUUGCUUUGGUCAGUUUGGAGACAGUGUUAGUUUCGGUGAAAGAUAGGUGCAAGGUUUGCACAUAAUGCAGCAUAGGCUAAGAAACUAUUUUGGACGCACCCGAUGGUACUCCUAGGUAAAAGGAUCAACUGAAAGCUCGAUUUGGUCUGUUUGGAGAUAGUGCUAAUCCUGAUGCAAGAUAGAUGCAUGGUUUGCAUGGAACAUACGAUAUGCUUAGAAAUCAAUUAGGACGCACCUGAUAUAACUCCUUGAUGAUUUGUGUCUUAUGGAAUCUUGCUUCGGUUCGUUUAGAGAUAGUGUUAUUUUUGGUAGAAGAUAUGUGCACGGUUUACGCCUAAUGCACCAUUGGCUAAGAAACCAUUUUAGACGCAUCCGAUGGUACUCGUAGUUGAAGAGACUCAAGUGGAUGCUCGAUUUGGUCUGUUCGGAUAUAGUGCUAAUCUUGAUGCAAGAUAGUUGCACACUUUGCAUGCAACGUACUACUCCUAUAUGUUAAGAAAUCAAUUUGGACGAACCCAAUGGAACACCUAGAUGAUGUGUGUCAUAGAAUCUCGCUUCGAUUUGUUUGGAGACAAUGUUAGUUUCGGGGCAAGAUAGGUGCAUAGUUUUUGCCUAAUGCACCAUAGUCUAAGAAACCAUUUUUGACACACCUGUUUGUACUCCUAGAUGAAGAGGCUCAAGUGGAAGCUCAGUUCGGUCUAUUUAGAGAUAGUGCUAAUCUUGAUGCAAGAUAGGUGCACGGUUUGCAUGGAACAUACCAUAUGCUUGGAAAUCAAUGUGGAUGCACCCGAUGGAACUCCUUGAUGACGUGUGUCAUAUGGAAUCUCACUUUGGUCUGUUUAGAAAUAGUGUUAGUUUCGGUGCAAGAUAUGUUCUUGGUUUGCGCCUAAUGCACCAUAGUCUAAGAAACCAUUUUGGAAGCACCUGUUGGUACUUCGGUGAAGAGGCUCAAGUAGAAGCUCGGUAUGAUCUGUUUGGAGAUAGUGCUAAUCUUGAUUCAAGAUAGGUGCAUGAUUUGCAAGGAACAUACCAUAUGCUUGAACUCAAUUUGGACGCACCCAACAGAACUCCUAGAUGACGUGUGUCAUAUGUAAUCUUGCUUCUGUCCGUUUGUAGACAUUGUAAGUUUUAGUGCAAGAUAGGUGCACAGUUUGCGCCAAAUGGACUAUAGUCUAAGAAACCAUUUUGGACGCACUAUUUGGUACUCUUGGGUGAAGAGGCUCAAGUGGAAGCUUGGUUCGGUUAGUUUGGAGAUAGUGCUAAUCCUUAUGCAAGGUAGGUGCAUGGUUUGCAUGGAACAUAGCAUAUGCUUGGAAAUCAAUUUGGAUGCACACGAUGGAACUCCUUGACGACGUGUUUCAUAUGAAAUCUCGCUUUGGUCCAUCUGGAGACAUUGUUAGUUUCGGUGCAAGAUAGGUGCACAGUUUGCACCUAAUGCACCAUAGCCUAAGAAAACAUUUUGGAGGCACUUGUUGGUACUCCUAAGUGAAGGGGCUCAAGUGGAUACUCGGUUUGGUCUGUUUGGAGAUAGUGCUAAUCGUGAUGCAAGAUAGGUGCACGAUUCGCAUGGAACAUACCAUAUGCUUAGAAAUCAAUUUGGACGCACUAGAUGCAACUCCUAGAUGACAUAUGUCAUAUGGAAUCUCACUUUGGUCCGUUUAGAGACAGUGUUAGUUUCGGUGCAAGAUAGGUGCACAGUUUGCACCUAAUGCACCAUAGGAUAAGAAACCAUUUUGGACACACCCGAUGGUCCUCCUAGGUCAAGGGGCUCAAGUGCAAGCUUGGUUUGGUCUGUUCGGAGAUAGUGCUAAUCUUGAUGGAUGCACGGUUUGCAUGGAACAUACGAUAUGCUCAGAAAUCAAUUAGGACGCACCUGAUAUAACUGCUUAAUGAUGUGUGUCAUAUGGAAUCUUGCUUCGGUUCGUUUAGAGACAGUGUUAGUUUUGGUAGAAGAUAUGUGCACGGUUUACGCCUAAUGCACCAUAGGCUAAGAAACCAUUUUAAAAGCACCCAAUGGUAGUCGUAGUUGAACUGGCUCAAGUGAAGGCUCGAUUUCGUCUGUUCGGAUAUAGUGCUAAUCUUGAUGCAAGAUAGUUGCACAGUUUGCAUGCAGCGUACUAUAUGUUAAGAGAUCAAUUUGGACGCACCCAAUGGAACUCCUAGAUGACGUGUGUCAUAUGGAAUCUCGCUUCGGUCUGUUUGGAGACAAUGUUAGUUUUGGUGCAAGAUAGGUGCAUAGUUUGUGCCUAAUGCACCAUAGUCUAAGAAACCAUUUUGGACGCACAUGUUGGUACUCCUAGGUGAAGGGGCUCAACUGGAUGCUCAGUUCGGUCUAUUUGGAGAUAGUGCUAAUCUUGAUGCAAGAUAGGUGCACGGUUUGCAUGGAAUAUACCAAAUGCUUGGAAAUCAAUCUGGACGCACAUGAUGGAACUCCUAGAUGACGUGUGUCAUACAAAAUCUUGCUUUGGUCUGUUUGGAGACAGUGUUAGUUUCGGUGCAAGAUAGGUGCAAGGUUUGCACAUAAUGCAGCAUAGGCUAAGAAACCAUUUUGGACACACUCGAUGGUACUCCUAGGUAAAAGGCUCAAGUGAAAGCUCGAUUUUUUCUAUUUGGAGAUAGUGCUAAUCUUGAUGCAAGAUAGAUGCAUGGUUUGCAUGGAACAUACGAUAUGCUUAGAAAUCAAUUAGGACGCACCUGAUAUAACUCCUUGAUGAUUUAUGUCAUAUGGAAUCUUGCUUCGGUUCGUUUAGAGAUAGUGUUAGUUUUGGUAGAAGAUAUGUGCACGGUUUACGCCUAAUGCACCAUAGGAUAAGAAACCAUUGUAGACGCACCCGAUGGUACUCGUAGUUGAAGAGACUCAAGUGGUGGCUCGAUUUGGUCUGUUCGGAUAUAGUGCUAAUCUUGAUGCAAGAUAGUUGCACAGUUUGCAUGCAACGUACUAUAUGUUAUGAAAUCAAUUUGGACGAACCCAAUGGAACACCUAGAUGAUGUGUGUCAUAUGGAAUCUCGCUUCGGUUUGUUUGGAGACAAUGUUAGUUUCGGGGCAAGAUAGGUGCAUAGUUUUUGCCUAAUGCACCAUAGUCUAAGAAACCAUUUUUGACACACCUGUUUGUACUCCUAGAUGAAGAGGCUCAAGUGGAAGCUCGGUUCGGUCUAUUUAGAGAUAGUGCUAAUCUUGAUGCAAGAUAGGUGCACGGUUUGCAUGGAACAUACCAUACUCAAUGUGGAUGCACCCGAUGGAACUCCUUGACGACGUGUGUCAUAUGGAAUCUCACUUUGGUCUGUUUAGAAAUAGUGUUAGUUUCGGUGCAAGAUAUGUUCAUGGUUUGCGCCUAAUGCACCAUAGUCUAAGAAACCAUUUUGGAAGCACCUGUUGGUGCUUCGGUGAAGAGGCUCAAGUGGAAGCUCGGUUUGAUUUGUUUGGAGAUAGUGCUAAUCUUGAUUCAAGAUAGGUGCAUGAUUUGCAAGGAACAUACCAUAUGCUUGAACUCAAUUUUGACGCACCCAACAGAACUCCUAGAUGACGUAUGUCAUAUGUAAUCUUGCUUCUGUCCGUUUGUAGACAUUGUAAGUUUUAGUGCAAGAUAGGUGCACAGUUUGCGCCAAAUGCACUAUAGUCUAAGAAACCAUUUUGGACGCACUAUUUGGUACUCUUGGGUGAAGAGGCUCAAGUGGAAGCUUGGUUUGGUUAGUUUGGAGAUAGUGCUAAUCCUUAUGCAAGGUAGGUGCAUGGUUUGCAUGGAACAUACCAUAUGCUUGGAAAUCAAUUUGGAUGCACCCGAUGGAACUCUUUGACGACGUGUGUCAUAUGGAAUCUCGCUUUGGUCCACUUGGAGACAUUGUUAGUUUCGGUGCAAGAUAGGUGCACAGUUUGCACCUAAUGCACCAUAGCCUAAGAAACCAUUUUGGAGGCACUUGUUGGUACUCCUAAGUGAAGGGGCUCAAGUGGAUGCUCGGUUCGGUCUGUUUGGAGAUAGUGCUAAUCUUGAUGUAAGAUAGGUGCACGAUUCGCAUGGAACAUACCAUAUGCUUAGAAAUCAAUUUGGACGCACUAGAUGCAACUCCUAGAUGACAUAUGUCAUAUGGAAUCUCACUUUGGUCCGUUUAGAGACAGUGUUAGUUUCGAUGCAAGAUAGGUGCACAGUUUGCACCUAAUGCACCAAAGGAUAAGAAACCAUUUUGGACACACCCGAUGGUCCUCCUAGGUCAAGGGGCUCAAGUGCAAGCUUGGUUUGGUCUGUUUGGAGAUAGUGCUAAUCUUGAUGCAAGAUAGAUGCACGGUUUGCAUGGAACAUACGAUAUGCUCAGAAAUCAAUUAGGACGCACCUGAUAUAACUCCUUAAUGAUGUGUGUCAUAUGGAAUCUUGCUUCGGUUCGUUUAGAGACAGUGUUAGUUUUGGUAGAAGAUAUGUGCACGGUUUACGCCUAAUGCACCAUAGGCUAAGAAACCAUUUUAAAAGCACCCAGUGGUACUCGUAGUUGAACAGGCUCAAGUGGAGGCUCGAUUUCGUCUGUUCGGAUAUAGUGCUAAUCUUGAUGCAAGAUAGUUGCACAAUUUGCAUGCAGCGUACUAUAUGUUAAGAAAUCAAUUUGGACGCACCCAAUGGAACUCCUAGAUGACGUGUGUCAUAUGGAAUCUCGCUUCGGUCUGUUUGGAGACAAUGUUAGUUUUGGUGCAAGAUAGGUGCAUAGUUUGUGCCUAAUGCACCAUAGUCUAAGAAACCAUUUUCGACGCACUUGUUGGUACUCCUAGGUGAAGGGGCUCAGCUGCAUGCUCGAUUUGGUCUGUUCGGAUAUAGUGCUAAUCUUGAUGCAAGAUAGUUGCACAGUUUGCAUGCAACGUACUAUAUGUUAAGAAAUCAAUUUGGACGAACCCAAUGGAACUCCUAGAUGAUGUGUGUCAUAUGGAAUCUCGCUUCGGUUUGUUUGGAGACAAUGUUAGUUUCGGGGCAAGAUAGGUGCAUAGUUUGUGCCUAAUGCACCAUAGUCUAAGAAACCAAUUUGGACGCACGUGUUGGUACUCCUAGGUGAAGGCGCUCAAGUGGACGCUCGGUUCGGUCUGUUCGGAGAUAUUACUAAUCUUGAUGCAAGACAGGUGCAUGGUUUGCAUGAAACAUACCAUAUGCUUGGAAAUCAAUUUGGAUGCACCCGAUGGAACUCCUUGACGACGUGUGUCAUAUGGAAUCUCACUUUGAUCUGUUUAGAAAUAGUGUUAGUUUCGGUGCAAGAUAUGUUCAUGGUUUGCACCUAAUUCACCAUCGUCUAAGAAACCAUUUUGGAAGCACCUGUUGGUACUUCGGUGAAGAUGCUCAAGUGGAAGCUCGGUUUGAUCUGUUUGGAGAUAGUGCUAAUCUUGAUGCAAGAUAGGUGCAUGAUUUGCAAGGACACAUACCAUAUGCUUGAAAUCAAUUUGGACGCACCCAAUAGAAUUCCUAGAUGACGUGUGUCAUAUGUAAUCUUGCUUCUGUCCGUUUGUAGAUAUUGUAAGUUUUAGUGCAAGAUAGGUGCACAGUUUGUGCCAAAUGCACUAUAGUCUAAGAAACCAUUUUGGACGCACUAUUUGGUACUCUUGGGUGAAGAGGCUCAAGUGGAAGCUUAGUUCGGUUAGUUUGAAUAUAGUGCUAAUCCUUAUGCAAGGUAGGUGCAUGGUUUGCAUGGAACAUACCAUAUGCUUGGAAAUCAAUUUGGAUGCACCCGAUGGAACUCCUUGACGACGUGUGUCAUAUGGAAUCUCGCUUUGGUCCAUUUGGAGACAUUGUUAGUUUCGGUGCAAGAUAGGUGCACAGUUUGCACCUAAUGCACCAUAGCCUAAGAAAACAUUUUGGAGGCACUUGUUGGUACUCCUAAGUGAAGGGGCUCAAGUGGAUACUCGGUUCGGUCUGUUUGGAGAUAGUGCUAGUCUUGAUGCAAGAUAGGUGCACGAUUCGCAUGGAACAUACCAUAUGCUUAGAAAUCAAUUUGGACGCACUAGAUGCAACUCCUAGAUGACAUAUGUCAUAUGGAAUCUCACUUUGGUCCGUUUAGAGACAGUGUUAGUUUCGGUGCAAGAUAGGUGCACAGUUUGCACCUAAUGCACCAUAGGAUAAGAAACCAUUUUGGACACACCCGAUGGUCCUCCUAGGUCAAUGGGCUCAAGUGCAAGCUUGGUUUGGUCUGUUUGGAGAUAGUGCUAAUCUUGAUGCAAGAUAGAUGCACGGUUUGCAUGGAACAUACGAUAUGCUCAGAAAUCAAUUAGGACGCACCUGAUAUAACUCCUUAAUGAUGUGUGUCAUAUGGAAUCUUGCUUCGGUUCGUUUAGAGAUAGUGUUAGUUUUGGUAGAAGAUAUGUGCACGGUUUACGCCUAAUGCACCAUAGGCUAAGAAACCAUUUUAGACGCACCCGACGGUACUCGUAGUUGAAGAGACUCAAGUGGAGGUUCGAUUUGGUCUGUUCGAAAAUACUGCUAAUCUUGAUGCAAGAUAGUUGCACAGUUUGCAGGCAACGUACUAUAUGUUAAGAAAUCAAUUUGGACGAACCCAAUGGAACUCCUAGAUGACGUGUGUCAUAUGGAAUCUCGCUUCGGUUUGUUGGGAGACAAUGUUAGUUUCGGGGCAAGAUAGGUGCAUAGUUUGUGCCUAAUGCACCAUAGUCUAAGAAACCAUUUUUGACACACUUGUUUGUACUCCUAGAUGAAGAGGCUAAAGUGGAAGCUCGGUUCGGUCAGUUUGGAGAUAGUGCUAAUCUUGAUGCUAGGUAGGUGCAUGGUUUGCAUGGAACAUACCAUAUGCUUGGAAAUCAAUUUGAAUGCACCCGAUGGAACUCCUUGACGACGUGUGUCAUAUGGAAUCUCACUUUGGUCUGUUUAGAAACAGUGUUAGUUUCGGUGCAAGAUAUGUGCAUGAUUUCCGCCUAAUGCACCAUAGUCUAAGAAAACAUUUUGGUAGCACCUGUUGGUACUUCGGUGAAGAGGCUCAAGUGGAAGCUCGGUUUGAUUUGUUUGGAGAUAGUGCUAAUCUGAUGCAAUGUGGCAGAACCUCCUAUGUGUUUGGGUCCACCGACACCUGUCAUUGUCCUACGGACCUCUGACGGUGAUGCUGGGGAUCCUCCCACUCUAGAAGUCCGAUGAGCAUCGCUAGAUACUCAUUCCACCGCUACCUGUGGCGUGUCAAGCAAGCUCGUCCUGACCACCGGUGUUGGUCAAUUAACGAGAACUUCUUCUUCUCGCCCUUACAGGAUAGCAAGUGGCCACCUUAACACCAGGAUCACUCGUUGCGAAGACAUUGCAGUAUCACAAACGACAUAAGACCGAAAUAAUAGUUCAGAGUAAAACAGCGGAAGUAUUACAUAACUUAAUUUACAAAAGGAGUUCUUCCAAAUAGUAGAGUGUUAUUACAAGCCAGGUCCAGCGGAGUAACUUAAACUUUAGUACACAGAUUACAAAUUUACAGACCCUGCCCAUGGGUCACGCUCACUCUUCCUCGUCGUCAACCUCGAUGACGGUCACACAACAAGGUCCGAAACAGGUCGGCUCCUGAGCUUCACCUGCAACAGGGGUUAUAAAACCCGGAGUACGGGAGUACUCAACAAGACUUACCCGGUGGAAAAAGAGGAGAAGGUAGGAAUGCAGGCUGAGGUUAGACAAGGGGUGGCUGAGCAAGGAGCCAAAUUGCUUUGCCAAAAAGCUUACUAAUAGUGCGUCCUUACUUUCAAGUUUUACCCGCGAAUUCCUCUCCUCAAGAGGCCGAGGAGUUCGAUGACAGUCUAUCUAGUUGCUUCUCACAGACAAGUCUGUAAGUUCCUAGUCCUUAAUCAAAGUAUUAUCUAUCCAACGGCCAUAGCUUCAUGUCACUCUGAGUCUGGGAAUUGGGAUCCGAACCUCAGGAGACAUUUCCCCCUUUCUCAUUUUAUCACUUAGUUGCAUAUUUAACUAAUGAGGGUCGAAGGAAUUGAGUCUCCCAAUCGGGGAGCAACGACGAUUCGAAUCGCUUAGCAAUCCAGCUGGAGUUCCUAACCACCCGACAUAUGUAAAAUCAAAUCUUGCAUAUGUCAACCCAAAUCAAGUUCUCCCCAAAUUUGACUAGGUUCGCGGCACCCGAGAGCACAAUACUCCACCAUCCUACAGCUGAUCUAGAUGUUUUCCGGUCAUCUCAGAUCCGUAAGGUGGGUACACACUACUCUCGCCAUCGCUCCACGCCCAGUGCGCAAGUAGCUGUUCGCAUCGAGGGAUCACAAGACCGGGCUUACCGAGGGCAAGUGGCUAGUACUAUAAAUUCUCAACCCAGCAGGCCAUCAACGGACCGGUCCUUAACCGACACAGUUGGAGACACUACUUUAAGACUCCAUUCUUAAAGCAAGUCCGCCGACCGGUCUCAAGUUGAAACAUCAUUGACCAUAAGUGUAUUCCACAACAACCCUUCAAACUUUCUUGUUUGAGAACCUAUCUAGUAGCAGGGCUAAGCAUCACUACGCAGUUUUAAAACAAAACAGGUGCCAAGGACAAGAUAACAAAUAUCAAGGUAGUAAAUGCAACAAGUAGGUUAACCCAAUUCUGAACUACCUAAUGCAGCAUUUUCAAUUCAUAAGUGAUAAAAGAUUUAGAACAUUCAAGGAGGGGUUAAUGCAUCUGGGGCUUGCCUUGGUUGCAGAGCUGAGAGGGACCCUCGGAGACUUCCCAAGUCUCGGAUCCUACUUCCUCGAACGGAGCACCGACCUCGGGGUUCGGUUCAACGGUUGCUCCUUCGGUCAUGUGCACUAUACGCAAAAUGAUGAAUGCUCAUGAUAUGCGUAUGACAAAAACCUAAGUUGGACCGAGUUAAGUACAACUGGUCUCCUCGGUGCAACACAGACUAAUUAAUAAUUAAAGUUGUUUAUUAUCUUAGUGUCUUUACCCAAGAGGUUGCAUCUGUAAACUAAGAUUCCUCUUAAUUCAUAAUUAUCCUAAAUUAACUAAUUAUUAAUCCUUUUUACCUUAAUUCAUUCUUAAUUAAGUAUUAAUGACAGUAAUUAAGCAUUAAUGCCAAACAAUAAUUAAAUGCCAAAGGUCAUUAAGGUUAAUGACCUCAGGUCAUCACAUAAUCCCAAAAUCACUCAAACCCUAAUCAUGAGGAUUUAACUAAUUAUCACCUAAUUAUUUUAGCAUUAUUAUUUAAUUAUUAAUUAAGGGUAUAAUAAUAUUUUAUUCAAACUUUAUCCAAAUGCCACCAAAUUUUGUGUGAAGCCAGGGAAUAAUAUUCAGAGACUCCCCACAAAUUUUGGUGAUUUUUGGACAUAUUAAUAAAUUAUUAAAAUUCAUAGAAGUUUUAGUUGCUAAUUAAAAGAGGCAAUUUUUAUACACAUGCAAACUACCAGAAAAUAGAACCUAUUAUUUUUCCUAUGUUCUAUCCAUUUUAUGAAAUCCAUACAAAAAUUUCCAUGAUUUUUGAGUCAGUAUACAAUUUUCUACACAAUUCUACAAAUCAAGCAUUUUUAAGCAAAAAGAAAAAAGGAAAAACACACUGCUACGCGGGUGGCCUGCUUGGACCCGGCCCAAGACGGCCCGCGAGCUUCCCGCGUCGCGCGCGGGCGUUGCCCUCCUCACACGGCCACUGACGGGCGGGUCCCGCCCGUCAGAUUCUCCUUCCACCUCCCGUCGCGGCUCCGACGAGCUCAAGCUCAUCGCCGGUGAGCUCCCGGCCUCCGCGGUAGGGUGGGCUAGCACCUUCGGCCUCUCGCGCAACCCUUGGGACACACGGGACAAUCCCUACUCCCUCCUAACCCUCCUGCUCACGUCCACGGCGGACGGCGGCACUAACCGCGCGAGCACCUGAUGUGAACCCACUAGGGUUUUCGCCUGAUCUUUCGAUGAGAGGCGCUGGAUAACUCGAUUAGUGAAUGGAGAUGACGUUCACGGCCCGACUACAGCCUUCUAAGGCCGCGCCUUAGCAACCGAUACACCGCCUCCAAUGGCUGUCACGAUCUUGUGGAGCGCAACACCCGGCCACUAGGGCACUCGUCCUGCAAGCAAUCGAAGAACCAGCAAGAACAAGUAGAACAAGUACUAAAAUACUAGAUGUAAAUGAAGGUUUCAAACUCAAUCUCUAAUGAAGUGGGGUUUCGAAAACAAGAAGACGGGCGGCUAGAUCAGCACGCGCGUUUACAAGCAAGUAGCGAAGGCUAAACUUUAUCUAAUCAAAACCCAGUUGUUCAUGGCGGCUCUAGAUGUAAAUAAAUAGAGGGGAGGACGACCAAAGGGGUGCUAGAGUCGUCCUCCAACCCUAGGACGCGUCCCUAAUGGACUCAACUUGAUACAUGGGCCAUUGGUCCAAAAUAGGGUGACGCAGCACCAAAACAGAAAAAGGUGUCGGCACGAAAACAAGGACUGCGCCCGACUCAUAAGCUGCAUAGAUAUGUGGUAGGACCCAUUGGAAAGUAGACUUCAUGAGCUUUCCAACAAGUAUAGGAACGUCCUAGUUGGAGUCCAUAUGACGCCGUGGUGAUCCAUACAAGUUAGAGUUAUUUUCCAGUCCGAAUCCAACUCCCAAAACGUGUUGGGUUUGGACUCUUUGUUUCCUUGCUUAGAAGCAACGUGGUAACUUGAUAGAGGAUGUUGUGGAGGCUUGGACCUGAUCUCCAAUCACCUUUGUUAAGUUAUCACUCUUCCCAUAUGCAAUCAGCCCUUGAAGUUGGUGUUGCCUCAAAUUCUGAAUGCAGUUGAACCUUCCCUUGCUGAUCUUGUCCAUUAUUCUUGAAGGUUGAGUUGACGGGCACGAGCACGAGUAAGAGGACCAGCUAUAGGUUGUGUCGGAGAGGAUGUAGGACCAGCUAUAGGUUGUGUCGGAGAUGUAGGACCAGUGUCGGAGAGGAUGUAGGAGAGGAUGUAUCGCUGGUGUUGAUGUCCUCAUCAUCCUCCCUUUCUUGCAUUUGAGUCGUCCUCGACUCAAGCUCAUCUUCCUCACCCAAAUAAGGCUUCAAAUCUGCAAUGUUAAAUGUGGGACUAACCCCAAAAUCUGCAGGAAGAUCAAGCUUAUAUGCAUUCUCAUUAAUUCGUUGCAGCACUUUAAAAGGACCAUCAGCUCUAGGCAUCAAUUUGGAUUUUCUCAGUUCUGGAAAUCUAUCUUUUCGCAAAUGCAACCAAACCAAAUCCCCAGGUUCCAGAAUCAAUUGCUUUCUACCUUUAUCUCCAGCACAUUUGUACUUAGCAUUCAUGCGCUCUAUGUUUUGUUUAGUGGCUUCAUGCAAUGUUAACAUCAAUUCAGCACGUUGCUUAGCAUCAAAAUUUAUUUUUUCAGAACUUGGCAAAGGCAUGACUAACCACUCAUACAAACCGAACUUAGUUUUGAAAGCAGUUUUCCAUUCAUCUCCCAAUUUCAUACGAAUCUGGUGGUACCCACUACGUAAAUCAACUUUUGAAAACACAACAGCACCACUCAGUUCAUCUAGCAUAUCAUCUAAUCGUGGAAUAGGGUGUCGAUAUCGAAUGGUGAUAUUAUUAAUAGCUCUACAAUCAACACACAUACGCCAUGUUCCAUCUUUCUUAGGCACUAAAAUUACUGGAACAGCACAAGGACUAAGAGAUUCUCGGACAUAACCUUUGUCUAGUAGUUCUUGCACUUGUCGCUGAAUUUCCUUUGUUUCCUCCGGGUUUGUCCUGUAUGGUGCACGAGUUGGCAAAACUGCUCCAGGAAUAAGAUCAAUUUGGUGCUCAAUCCCGCGUAGUGGAGGCAGCCCCGCUGGUACCUCACUUGGAAACACAUCAGAAUACUCCUGCAAAAAGUUAGCAACAGCAGGGGGCAAAGAACAUUGCAUAUCCUCAAUGAAAAUCAAAGCAUCCUUGCAUAUCAAAGCAUAAGCAACUGAAGUGGAUGCAUUGAACUCAUUAAUAUCUGAUUUGGUAGCUAUCAUACAACGUCCUUUCAGUUUUAUCUCAUCUUUGUUACCAAUUACAGAUUUAUCAUUUAUAUUGCUCUUGCUCUUUGCUUUAGUAGCCCUAGCAACAUCAGUUUGCAUAAUAGUUUCAGGGGACAUAGGAUGCAACACAAUUUUGCGAUCAUGGUAUAGAAAAGAAUACUGAUUUGAUCUACCAUGAUGCAUAGAAUCUCUAUCAAAUUGCCAAGGUCUACCUAGCAGAAUGUUACAAGCUUGCAUAGGCACAACAUCACAUUCAACAAUAUCUUUGUAGGAUCCGAUGGAAAAAUUAAUUCUCAUAAGUCUAGUUACCUUUGCCUUACCACUGUUGUUCAGCCAUUGGAUGUAGUAGGGAUGCGGGUGUGGUUUGGUGUUGAGGGCAAGCUUCUGCACCAUAUCGCUGCUUGCCAAGUUGUUGCAGCUACCUCCAUCAAUGAUCAUGCGACAAGAACGCUCUUUGAUGACACACUUUGUUUGGAAUAAAAUGUGUCGCUGAUUUUGCUCCGCCAUCUCCAUUUGUGCACUAAGCACUCGCUGCACGAUCAAGCUCUCAUAGUGGUCCGCUUCACCUGCAUUAAUAUGUUCUUCUAUUUGAUCUUCAUUACCUGCAUGGUCAGUCGCAAGCAGUGCAAGUGUAUCCUCAUCAAAAUCACUAGCAGAUGAGUACUCACCAUCAUCCCUGACAAUCAUAACUCGCUUGUUUGGGCAGUCACGCAUCAUGUGCCCAUAUCCCUUGCACCGAUGACAUUGUAUGUUGCUUGUUCUACCCGUCGAUGCCACGGAUGAAGUACUCGCAGCAGGCUUUUGCAUCGUCUUCGCAACUGAAUUGGUGGGGGCAGCUCGAGUCUUGUCACUAGAUGAUGGAGUAGAAAUACGUGUAGAUGGAGUUGAAGCCAUGUGUUGCUGCCAUGAUUUAGCCUUCCAUGCAGAAAUAUUACUCCUUGCGCUAGCACGUCGUCCCUGCACUUCCCUUUCAGCUUUACAAGCAAGAUGAAACAAACGGGUUACAUUAUUGUAUUCUUUGUAAGCGAGGAUGUCCUGAAUUUCCCGAUUUAACCCACCCAAAAAUCUAGCCAUAGCCGGUUCCUCAUCCUCCUCUAGGUUACAACGCAACAUACCCGUUUGUAAUUCCUGAUAAUAUUCUUCUACACUUUUAGCACCUUGUCUUAAUUGCUGCAACUUAUUUAUCAUAUCACGCGCAUAGUAAGAUGGAACAAAUCUAGCUCUCAUGGCCCUUUUUAGCGCAUCCCAAGUUCUAGGUAAGUUAUUAGGAUUUUUCUUUCCAUAUUCUAUCCACCAAACAGAAGCAAAAUCUGUAAACUCACUAGUAGCAGCCCUAACACGUGUAGUCUCAGGAAAUUCAUGACAUGCAAACUUUUGAUCAACAGCAAUCUCCCAAGUGAUGUAAGCAUCAGGGUCAUAUUUACCAUCAAAAGGAGGUAUCUUAAAUUUAAUCUUACUGAAAGCAUCAUCAUUAUUGUGCAUCUUGCGUCGGCGGUUGCCACCCAUACCUCUACGGUUGUGACGAAGGCGACGUCGAUCACGAGUGUCUUGAUCAUCAUGUUCAGUAUCACCAGUGUAGUCAUCUUCAUGACUACCGUGCUCUCGAUCUCCCUCCUUUUCUUCUUUAUGCUUCUCUUUAUCUUCGGUGUGGAAAUCAUCAAAUCGCCUUAGGAGAGCAGCAAGGCUUUUGUCCACACUAGCAACGGAUUCCUCCAAACGUGUGAGCUUGUUGUUUCUGGCAAUCUGCGUAGCCUCCAACUGCCCCAGCUUUUCAUUUGUCACCUGCAAGUCGUUAUCAAGUUCUUCUGUGUGCAGCUUCACUUUCCUUUCAAAAUGUUGUAUGAUGCCCUUAGUGCGAGGUGUAAGUGGUGUUUCGUUACCAUCAUCUGCCCCUGGCAUGGUUCAAAGACAAAGACAACAAAAAGGCAAGUGAAGAAAUAAAAGCCCUACAACUACUAGGAUGUAGCUACAGCAAGUCGCUCACACUCAACCUGUAACACAAGUUCUUACCAAUUCUUACCUUGCUUGACAGGAGGGGUCGUCUGCCAACAAGUGUACAGCAAUGGACGAAGUGUAUCGGUGCUGCAGCACAAGACCUGUCAAGCUGUAGAGUAUGUGGAGCUAUAGGUGGUCUGAAACAAGGAACGAACUAGCACCACGUUAGUUAUAAAAGCGAGCUGAAUAAACGCUCAACGGUGGUACUGUGCUGGUCCUAGCCUAGACCGUGCUAGAGACGCGAGCCUGGACACAAAGGGAAAACACAGCACACCACUAGAAACAAAAUGAGCAGCCCUACUGGAAACAAAAGGAACAACAAUCCCUUUUUUUGAUUUUUUUUUCUUUUUUUUCUUUCUUUUUUUUUUCUUUUUUUUUCUUUCUCUUUUCUUUUUCUUUGGAACCUCAAAACCUGAUUAUAUAAACAAAAUAGUACAAAAUAUCACUUCACCACUCUCACCCUCUCACUAGAGUAAGGCUGAACCUCAAAAUUCAAUGUAUCUAGCACAAGUAUGAAGUGCUAUCUUUCCUUUUGGAUCACGUUGAUGGAAACGCAGAAUAGACCAACAAGUGGCUGCACCUAUUAUCAAGAUCUACUCAAAUUCCAACCCACAAUAAAUUGGACGCAGUUGUGACUAGAUGGUGACAAGAACUCAAAACUCUAAAGGACUAAACUAAAACCAGCACUGGACACGACCGAAGCAAACACUCAUUCAACCAGCCCUAACUAAGUAGUACUAGCCACGGCACAAAGGAUUUAUAGGAUUAUGGAAAACAAAUCUGCUAUAUUUUUUGUCUUUUUUUGGACUAUAGGAAAAACAAACACGAAGAAUUGGAAAUCUCUCACCGAUAAACCUUGCUCUGAUUACCAACUGAUGUGAACCCACUAGGGUUUUCGCCUGAUCUUUCGAUGAGAGGCGCUGGAUAACUCGAUUAGUGAAUGGAGAUGACGUUCACGGCCCGACUACAGCCUUCUAAGGCCGCGCCUUAGCAACCGAUACACCGCCUCCAAUGGCUGUCACGAUCUUGUGGAGCGCAACACCCGGCCACUAGGGCACUCGUCCUGCAAGCAAUCGAAGAACCAGCAAGAACAAGUAGAACAAGUACUAAAAUACUAGAUGUAAAUGAAGGUUUCAAACUCAAUCUCUAAUGAAGUGGGGUUUCGAAAACAAGAAGACGGGCGGCUAGAUCAGCACGCGCGUUUACAAGCAAGUAGCGAAGGCUAAACUUUAUCUAAUCAAAACCCAGUUGUUCAUGGCGGCUCUAGAUGUAAAUAAAUAGAGGGGAGGACGACCAAAGGGGUGCUAGAGUCGUCCUCCAACCCUAGGACGCGUCCCUAAUGGACUCAACUUGAUACAUGGGCCAUUGGUCCAAAAUAGGGUGACGCAGCACCAAAACAGAAAAAGGUGUCGGCACGAAAACAAGGACUGCGCCCGACUCAUAAGCUGCAUAGAUAUGUGGUUGGACUCAUUGGAAAGUAGACUUCAUGAGCUUUCCAACAAGUAUAGGAACGUCCCAGUUGGAGUCCAUAUGACGCCGUGGUGAUCCAUACAAGUUAGAGUUAUUUUCCAGUCCGAAUCCAACUCCCAAAACGUGUUGGGUUUGGACUCUUUGUUUCCUUGCUUUAGAAGCGACGUGGUAACUUGAUAGAGGAUGUUGUGGAGGCUUGGACCUGAUCUCCAAUCACCUUUGUUAAGUUAUCACUCUUCCCAUAUGCAAUCAGCCCUUGAAGUUGGUGUUGCCUCAAAUUCUGAAUGCAGUUGAACCUUCCCUUGCUGAUCUUGUCCAUUAUUCUUGAAGGUUGAGUUGACGGGCACGAGCACGAGUAAGAGGACCAGCUAUAGGUUGUGUCGGAGAGGAUGUAGGACCAGCUAUAGGUUGUGUCGGAGAUGUACGACCAGUGUCGGAGAGGAUGUAUCGCUGGUGUUGAUGUCCUCAUCAGCACCGACCGUCACAAGUGGUUAGAACGUGAACCAACCAGCGCAUAAGCUUCAGGGGCUCACCGCGACUUCAACGAAGUAACGAGCGGCGCUGGAAAGGCUUGGAGCAGCUCUGGCCGCGGUGAAGCGCUUGCGGCGGUGCUUUGGCCGGAGUUGGGAACGACGGCUCGGUUGCGGCUUAUGGGGGCUUAGAGCUUGCGUUAGGGGGCGCAAUCGGUGGCGGAGCUCAGGGCGGAGCUGCUGGUGUGCUCAAGUGGCUUGGAAAGGAAGCGGGUGAGGCGAAUUUGGGGAGCGGAGUAAGUUCGUCGGCGUUGAGUGGAAAGGAAGAAAAUGAGGCGGCCGCGCAGUGGGAUCACCGAGGGGAGUGGAUGAGCAUGCCGGGGGCUCGUCCACAUCACGGCGGGCUCGCGCAACCAAGCAGCUGCGUGGCCAGGCACGUGGCGGCGCUGGACGUAGCGGCUCUGCCCCGGCGGCAGAGCAUCCCCCCCUGCUCAGCACUGUAGCAAGCUCUUAUCCAAACAGUUUUGGGGUUUUGCAAAAUUCGCCCAAAUUUUGAACUGAAGACAAAAUUCCACCAAAAUGAAAGUUGUGUAGAAUUUCAAAAGCUACAAAACAUCUGUUGGUGACCAAAGCUAAUUCUGAGUGGAAAUUGGUGAUUUUAACAAAACAGUUUGAAAUUCAAAACUCAAUUCAAGGAAAUUCAAAUUUUUGAAUUGGGGCAGAUCAGAAUUUCCAAAAUUACUUUUGAUUUUCCAUAACAACUUGAAAAACUCCCAACAUGAAAGUUGUUCAACUUUUUGAGCUCUACAACUUUCAUGUUGGUCACUUUUCAAAAUUCCAAAUAGAUUUUAAAUUGGAGACUCCAAUUGGAAAAGGGGACACUUUCUGGAAAUCUGUAUUUUCAAAAUUACUUUGAAUUUUGUAUUGAAACUUCAAAAACUCAAAACACCAAAGCUGUACAUCUUGACAAGAUCUACAACUUUGCUUUUGAACUCAACCUCAAAUUUUGCUUGGUUUUUAAAUUGUGCAAAAGGGGGCAAUUCUAGGGUUCAAAAUUCAGGGUUCCCCCCCCCCUAAUCUCUCGGAAAUCUUUCACCCUAGGGUUUGAACAACCAACACAAGCAUCAAUACAUAAUAUAAUCUCACUUUAGAUCCCUAAGCACAAGCAACCAAAGUAAACUUGUUUGAAGUUGGUGCAUCAAAUUGUGCUUAACAAAUAUGCCAUGCAAUGCUUAUGAUGACAUGAUCCAAUUUUAGUAACCGUAACAUCGGGGAUGUUACAUGCAAGAUAGGUGCAUGAUUUGCAAGGAACAUACCAUAUGCUUAGAAAUCAAUUUAGACACACCCAAUGGAACUCCUAGAUGACGUGUGUCAUAUGGAAUCUCGCUUCGGUCUGUUUGGAGACAAUGUUAGUUUCAGAGCAAGAUAGGUGCAUAGUUUGUGCCUAAUGCACCAUAGUCUAAGAAACCAUUUUUGACGCACCUGUUUGUACUCCUAGAUGAAGAAGAUCAAGUGGAAGCUCGGUUCGGUCUGUUUGGAGAUAGUGCUAAUCUUGAUGCAAGAUAGGCGCACGGUUUGCAUGGAACAUACCAUAUGCUUGGAAAUCAAUUUGGAUGCACCCGAUGGAACUCCUUGAUGACGUGUGUCAUAUGGAAUCUCGCUUUGGUCUGUUUAGAAACAGUGUUAGUUUCGGUGUAAGAUAUGUGCAUGGUUUGCGCCUAAUGCACCAUAGUCUAAGAAACCAUUUUGGAUGCACCUGUUGAUACUUCGUUGAAGAGGAUCAAGUGGAAGCUCGGUUUGAUCUGUUUAGAGAUUGUGCUAAUCUUGAUGCAAGAUAGGUGCAUGAUUUGCAAGGAACAUACCAUAUGCUUAGAAAUCAAUUUGGACGCACCCAAUGGAACUCUUAGAUGACAUGUGUCAUAUGGAAUCUUGCUUUGGUCUGUUUGUAGACAAUGUAAGUUUUAGUGCAAGAUAGGUGUAUAGUUUGCGCUUAAUGCACCAUAGUCUAAGAAACCAUUUUGGACGCACUAUUUGGUACUACUGGGUGAAGAGCCUCAAGUGGAAGCUUGGUUCGGUCAGUUUUGAGAUAGUGCUAAUCCUUAUGCAAGGUUGGUGCAUGGUUUGCUUGGAACAUACCAUAUGCUUCAAUAUCAAUUUGGAUGCACCCGAUGGAACUCCUUGAUGACGUGUGUCAUAUGGAAUCUCACUUUGGUCUGUUUAGAAACAGUGUUAGUUUCGGUGCAAGAUAUGUGCAUGGUUUGCACCUAAUGCACCAUAGUCUAAGAAACCAUUUUGGAAGCACCUGUUGGUACUUCGGUGAAGAGGAUCAAGUGAAUGCUCGGUUUGAUCUAUUUGGAGAUAGUGCUAAUCUUGAUGCAAGAUAGGUGCAUGAUUUGCAAGGAACAUACCAUAUGCUUAGAAAUCAAUUUGGACGCACCCAAUGGAACUCCUAGUUGACGUGUGUCAUAUGGAAUCUUGCUUCGGUCCGUUUGUAGAUAUUGUAAGUUUUAGUGCAAGAUAGGUGCACAGUUUGCGCCUAAUGCACCAUAGUCUAAAAAAUCAUUUUGGACGCACAACUUGGUACUCUUGGGUGAAGAGGCUCAAGUGGAAGCUUGGUUCGGUCAGUUUGGAGAUAGUGCUAAUCCUUAUGCAAGGUAGGUGCAUGGUUUGCAUGGAACAUACCAUAUGCAUGGAAAUCAAUUUGGAUGCACCCGAUGGAACUCUUUGAUGAUGUGUGUCAUAUGGAAUCUCGCUUCGGUCCAUUUGGAGACAUUUUUAGUUUUAGUGCAACAUAGGUGCAAGGUUUGCAUAUAAUGCAGCAUAGGCUAAGAAACCAUUUUGGAAGCACCUGUUGGUACUCCUAGGUGAAGAGGCCCAAGUCGAGGCUCGGUUCGGUCUGUUAUUGUUAGUUUCGGUGCAAGAUAGGUGCACAGUUUGCACCUAAUGCACCAUAGUCUAAGAAACCAUUUUGGACGCACUUGUUGGUACUCCUAGGUGAAGGGGCUCAAGUGGUUGCUCAGUUUGGUCUGUUUGGAGAUAGUGCUAAUCUUGAUUCAAGAUAGGUGCACGGUUUGCUUGGAACAUACCAAAUGCUUGGAAAUCAAUCUGGACGCACAUGAUGGAACUCCUAGAUGACGUGUGUCAUACAAAAUCUUGCUUUGGUCUGUUUGGAGACAGCGUUAGUUUUGGUGCAAGAAGGUGCAAGGUUUGCACAUAAUGCAGUAUAGGCUAAGAAACCAUUUUGGACGCACCCGAUGGUACUCCUAGGUAAAAGGCUCAAGUGAAAGCUCGAUUUGGUCUAUUUUGAGAUAGUGCUAAUCUUGAUGCAAGAUAGAUGCACGGUCUACAUGGAAUGAACCAUGUGCUUAGAAAUUAAUUUGGACACACCCGAUAGAACUCCUUGAUGACGUGUGUCAUAUGGAAUCUCGCUUUGGUGUGCUUGGAGAUAGUAUUAGUUUCAGUGCAAGAUAUGUGCACGGUUUGCGCCCGAUGCACAAAAGUCUAAGAAUCCAUUUUGGAAGCGUGCAAGAUAGGUGCACAGUUUGCACCUAAUACACCAUAGUCUAAGAAACCAUUUUGGACACAUUUGUUGGUACUCCUAGGUGAAGGGGCUCAAGUGGAUGCUAGGUUUGGUCUGUUUGGAGAUAGUGCUAAUCUUGAUGCAAGAUAGAUGCAUGGUUUGCAUGGAACAUACGAUAUGCUUAGAAAUCAAUUAGGACGCACCUGAUAUAACUCCUUGAUGAUUUGUGUCAUAUGGAAUCUUGCUUUGGUUCGUUUACAGACAGUGUUAGUUUUGGUAGAAGAAAUGCGCACGGUUUACGCCUAAAGCACCAUAGGCUAAGAAACCAUUUUAGACGCACCCGAUGGUACUCGUAGUUGAAGAGGCUCAAGUGGAGGCUCGAUUUGGUCUGUUCGGAUAUAGUGCUAAUCUUGAUGCAAGAUAGUUGCACAGUUCGCAUGCAACGUACCAUAUGUUAAGAAAUCAAAUUGGACGCACCCAAUGGAACCCAAUGCAAGAUGACGUGUGUCACAUGGAAUCUCGCUUCGGUCUGUUUGGAGACAAUGUUAGUUUCAGUGCAAGAUAGGUGCAUAGUUUGUGCGUAAUGCACCAUAGUCUAAGAAACCAUUUCUGACACACUUGUUUGUACUCCUAGAUGAAGAGGCUCAAGUGGAAGCUCGGUUCGGUUUGUUUGGAGAUAGUACUAAUCUUGGUGCAAGAUAGGGGCACGGUUUGCAUGGAACAUACCAUAUCCUUGGAAAUCAAUUUGGAUGCACCCGAUGGAACUCCUUGAUGACGUGUGUCAUAUGGAAUCUCACUUUGGUCUGUUUAGAAAUAGUGUUAGUUUCGGUGCAAGAUAUGUGCAUGGUUUGCGCCUAAUGCACCAUAGUGUAAGAAACCAUUUUGGAAGCACCUGUUGGUACUUCAGUGAAGAGGCUCAAGUGGAAGCUCGAUUUGAUAUGUUUGGAGAUAGUGCUAAUCUUGAUGCAAGAUAGGUGCAUGAUUUGCAAGGAACAUACCAUAUGCAUAGAAAUCAAUUUGGACGCACCCAAUGGAACUCCUAAAUGACGUGUGCCAUAUGGAAUCUUGCUUCGGUUCGUUUGUAGACAAUGUAAGUUUUAGUGCAAGAUAGGUGCACAGUUUGCGCCUAAUGCACCAUAGUCUAAGAAACCAUUUUGGAUGCACAAUUUGGUACUCUUAGGUGAAGAGGCUCAACUAGAAGCUUGGUUCGGUCAGUUUGGAGAUAGUGCUAAUCCUUAUGCAAGGUAGGUGCAUGGUUUGCAUGGAACAUACCAUAUGCUUGGAAAUCAAUUUGGAUGCACCCGAUGGAACUCUUUGACGAUGUGUGUCAUAUGGAACCUCGCUUCAGUCCAUUUGGAGACAUUGUUAGUUUCUGUGCAAGAUAGGUGCACAGUUUGCACCUAAUGCACCAUAGUCUAAGAAACCAUUUUGGACGCACUUGUUGGUACUCCUAGGUGAAGGGGCUCAAGUUGAUGCUCGGUUCGGUCUGUUUAGAGAUAGUGCUAAUCUUGAUGCAAGAUAGGUGCACGGUUUGCAUCGAACAUACCAUAUGCUUGGAAAUCAAUUUGGAUGCACCCGAUGGAACUCCUUGAUGACGUCUGUCAUAUGGAAUCUCACUUUGGUGUGCUUAGAGAUAAUAGUAUUAGUUUCAGUGCAAGAUAUGUGCACGGUUUGCGCCUAAUGCACCAAUGUCUAAGAAACCAUUUUGGAAGCACCUGUUGGUACUCCUAGGUGAAGAGGCUCAAGUGGAGCCUCGGUUCGGUCUGUUUAGAGAUAGUGCUAGUCUUGAUGCAAGAUAGGUGCAUGAUUUGCAUGAAACAUACCAUAUGCUUGGAAAUCAAUUUGGAUGCACCCGAUGGAACUCCUUGAUGACGUGUGUCAUUUGGAAUCUCGCUUCGGUCCAUAAGGAGACAUUGUUAGUUUCGGUGCAAGAUAGGUGCAUAGUUUGCACCUAAUGCACCAUAGUCUAAGAAACCAUUUUGGAUGCAUUUGUUGGUACUCCUAGGUGAAGGGGCUCAAGUGGAUGCUAGGUUUGGUCUGUUUGGAGAUAGUGCUAAUCUUGAUGCAAGAUAGAUGCAUGGUUUGCAUGGAACAUACAAUAUGCUUAGAAAUCAAUUAGGACGCACCUGAUAUAACUCCUUGAUGAUUUGUGUCAUAUGGAAUCUUGCUUUGGUUCGUUUAGAGACAGUGUUAGUUUUGGUAGAAGAUAUGUGCACGGUUUACGCCUAAUGCACCAUAGGCUAAGAAACCAUUUUAGACGCACCCGAUGGUACUCGUAGUUGAAGAGGCUCAAGUGGAGGCUCGAUUUGGUAUGUUCGGAUAUAGUGCUAAUCUUGAUGCAAGAUAGUUGCACAGUUUGCAUGCAACGUACCAUAUGUUAAGGAAUCAAAUUGGAUGCACCCAAUGGAACCCAAUGAAAGAUGACGUGUGCCAUAUGGAAUCUCGCUUCGGUCCGUUUGGGGACAAUGUUAGUUUCAGUGCAAGCUAGGUGCAUAGUUUGUGCGUAAUGCACCAUAGUCUAAGCAACCAUUUUUGACACACAUGUUUGUACUCCUAGAUGAAGAGGCUCAAGUGGAAGCUCGGUUCGGUUUGUUUGGAGAUAGUGCUAAUCUUGGUGCAAGAUAGGGGCACGGUUUGCAUGGAACAUACCAUAUCCUUGGAAAUCAAUUUGGAUGCACCCGAUGGAACUCCUUGAUGACGUGUGUCAUAUGGAAUCUCACUUUGGUCUGUUUAGAAAUAGUGUUAGUUUCGGUGCAAGAUAUGUGCAUGGUUUGCGCCUAAUGCACCAUAGUGUAAGAAACCAUUUUGGAAGCACCUGUUGGUACUUCAGUGAAGAGGCUCAAGUGGAAGCUCGAUUUGAUAUGUUUGGAGAUAGUGCUAAUCUUGAUGCAAGAUAGGUGCAUGAUUUGCAAAGAACAUACCAUAUGCAUAGAAAUCAAUUUGGACGCACCCAAUGGAACUCCUAAAUGACGUGUGCCAUAUGGAAUCUUGCUUCGGUUCGUUUGUAGACAAUGUAAGUUUUAGUGCAAGAUAGGUGCACAGUUUGCGCCUAAUGCACCAUAGUCUAAGAAACCAUUUUGGAUGCACAAUUUGGUACUCUUAGGUGAAGAGGCUCACCUAGAAGCUUGGUUCGGUCAGUUUGGAGAUAGUGCUAAUCCUUAUGCAAGGUAGGUGCAUGGUUUGCAUGGAACAUACCAUAUGCUUGGAAAUCAAUUUGGAUGCACCCGAUGGAACUCUUUGACGAUGUGUGUCAUAUGGAACCUCCNNNNNNNNNNNNNNNNNNNNNNNNNNNNNNNNNNNNNNNNNNNNNNNNNNNNNNNNNNNNNNNNNNNNNNNNNNNNNNNNNNNNNNNNNNNNNNNNNNNNNNNNNNNNNNNNNNNNNNNNNNNNNNNNNNNNNNNNNNNNNNNNNNNNNNNNNNNNNNNNNNNNNNNNNNNNNNNNNNNNNNNNNNNNNNNNNNNNNNNNNNNNNNNNNNNNNNNNNNNNNNNNNNNNNNNNNNNNNNNNNNNNNNNNNNNNNNNNNNNNNNNNNNNNNNNNNNNNNNNNNNNNNNNNNNNNNNNNNNNNNNNNNNNNNNNNNNNNNNNNNNNNNNNNNNNNNNNNNNNNNNNNNNNNNNNNNNNNNNNNNNNNNNNNNNNNNNNNNNNNNNNNNNNNNNNNNNNNNNNNNNNNNNNNNNNNNNNNNNNNNNNNNNNNNNNNNNNNNNNNNNNNNNNNNNNNNNNNNNNNNNNNNNNNNNNNNNNNNNNNNNNNNNNNNNNNNNNNNNNNNNNNNNNNNNNNNNNNNNNNNNNNNNNNNNNNNNNNNNNNNNNNNNNNNNNNNNNNNNNNNNNNNNNNNNNNNNNNNNNNNNNNNNNNNNNNNNNNNNNNNNNNNNNNNNNNNNNNNNNNNNNNNNNNNCAGUGGAGCCUCGGUUCGGUCUGUUUAGAGAUAGUGCUAGUCUUGAUGCAAGAUAGGUGCAUGAUUUGCAUGAAACAUACCAUAUGCUUCGAAAUCAAUUUGGAUGCACCCGAUGGAACUCCUUGAUGACGUGUGUCAUUUGGAAUCUCGCUUCGGUCCAUAAGGAGACAUUGUUAGUUUCGGUGCAAGAUAGGUGCAUAGUUUGCACCUAAUGCACCAUAGUCUAAGAAACCAUUUUGGAUGCAUUUGUUGGUACUCCUAGGUGAAGGGGCUCAAGUGGAUGCUAGGUUUGGUCUGUUUGGAGAUAGUGCUAAUCUUGAUGCAAGAUAGAUGCAUGGUUUGCAUGGAACAUACAAUAUGCUUAGAAAUCAAUUAGGACGCACCUGAUAUAACUCCUUGAUGAUUUGUGUCAUAUGGAAUCUUGCUUUGGUUCGUUUAGAGACAGUGUUAGUUUUGGUAGAAGAUAUGUGCACGGUUUACACCUAAUGCACCAUAGGCUAAGAAACCAUUUUAGACGCACCCGAUGGUACUCGUAGUUGAAGAGGCUCAAGUGGAGGCUCGAUUUGGUAUGUUCGGAUAUAGUGCUAAUCUUGAUGCAAGAUAGUUGCACAGUUUGCAUGCAACGUACCAUAUGUUAAGGAAUCAAAUUGGAUGCACCCAAUGGAACCCAAUGAAAGAUGACGUGUGCCAUAUGGAAUCUCGCUUCGGUCCGUUUGGAGACAAUGUUAGUUUCAGUGCAAGCUAGGUGCAUAGUUUGUGCGUAAUGCACCAUAGUCUAAGCAACCAUUUUUGACACACAUGUUUGUACUCCUAGAUGAAGAGGCUCAAGUGGAAGCUCGGUUCGGUUUGUUUGGAGAUAGUGCUAAUCUUGGUGCAAGAUAGGGGCACGAUUUGCAUGGAACAUACCAUAUCCUUGGAAAUCAAUUUGGAUGCACCCGAUGGAACUCCUUGAUGACGUGUGUCAUAUGGAAUCUCACUUUGGUCUGUUUAGAAAUAGUGUUAGUUUCGGUGCAAGAUAUGUGCAUGGUUUGCGCCUAAUGCACCAUAGUGUAAGAAACCAUUUUGGAAGCACCUGUUGGUACUUCAGUGAAGAGGCUCAAGUGGAAGCUCGAUUUGAUAUGUUUGGAGAUAGUGCUAAUCUUGAUGCAAGAUAGGUGCAUGAUUUGCAAAGAACAUACCAUAUGCAUAAAAAUCAAUUUGGACGCACCCAAUGGAACUCCUAAAUGACGUGUGCCAUAUGGAAUCUUGCUUCGGUUCGUUUGUAGACAAUGUAAGUUUUAGUGCAAGAUAGGUGCACAGUUUGCGCCUAAUGCACCAUAGUCUAAGAAACCAUUUUGGAUGCACAAUUUGGUACUCUUAGGUGAAGAGGCUCAACUAGAAGCUUGGUUCGGUCAGUUUGGAGAUAGUGCUAAUCCUUAUGCAAGGUAGGUGCAUGGUUUGCAUGGAACAUACCAUAUGCUUGGAAAUCAAUUUGGAUGCACCCGAUGGAACUCUUUGACGAUGUGUGUCAUAUGGAACCUCGCUUCAGUCCAUUUGGAGACAUUGUUAGUUUCUGUGCAAGAUAGGUGCACAGUUUGCACCUAAUGCACCAUAGUCUAAGAAACCAUUUUGGACGCACUUGUUGGUACUCCUAGGUGAAGGGGCUCAAGUUGAUGCUCGGUUCGGUCUGUUUAGAGAUAGUGCUAAUCUUGAUGCAAGAUAGGUGCACGGUUUGCAUCGAACAUACCAUAUGCUUGGAAAUCAAUUUGGAUGCACCCGAUGGAACUCCUUGAUGACGUCUGUCAUAUGGAAUCUCACUUUGGUGUGCUUAGAGAUAAUAGUAUUAGUUUCAGUGCAAGAUAUGUGCACGGUUUGCGCCUAAUGCACCAAAGUCUAAGAAACCAUUUUGGAAGCACCUGUUGGUACUCCUAGGUGAAGAGGCUCAAGUGGAGCCUCGGUUCGGUCUGUUUAGAGAUAGUGCUAGUCUUGAUGCAAGAUAGGUGCAUGAUUUGCAUGAAACAUACCAUAUGCUUGGAAAUCAAUUUGGAUGCACCCGAUGGAACUCCUUGAUGACGUGUGUCAUUUGGAAUCUCGCUUCGGUCCAUAAGGAGACAUUGUUAGUUUCGGUGCAAGAUAGGUGCAUAGUUUGCACCUAAUGCACCAUAGUCUAAGAAACCAUUUUGGAUGCAUUUGUUGGUACUCCUAGGUGAAGGGGCUCAAGUGGAUGCUAGGUUUGGUCUGUUUGGAGAUAGUGCUAAUCUUGAUGCAAGAUAGAUGCAUGGUUUGCAUGGAACAUACAAUAUGCUUAGAAAUCAAUUAGGACGCACCUGAUAUAACUCCUUGAUGAUUUGUGUCAUAUGGAAUCUUGCUUUGGUUCGUUUAGAGACAGUGUUAGUUUUGGUAGAAGAUAUGUGCACGGUUUACACCUAAUGCACCAUAGGCUAAGAAACCAUUUUAGACGCACCCGAUGGUACUCGUAGUUGAAGAGGCUCAAGUGGAGGCUCGAUUUGGUAUGUUCGGAUAUAGUGCUAAUCUUGAUGCAAGAUAGUUGCACAGUUUGCAUGCAACGUACCAUAUGUUAAGGAAUCAAAUUGGAUGCACCCAAUGGAACCCAAUGAAAGAUGACGUGUGCCAUAUGGAAUCUCGCUUCGGUCCGUUUGGAGACAAUGUUAGUUUCAGUGCAAGCUAGGUGCAUAGUUUGUGCGUAAUGCACCAUAGUCUAAGCAACCAUUUUUGACACACAUGUUUGUACUCCUAGAUGAAGAGGCUCAAGUGGAAGCUCGGUUCGGUUUGUUUGGAGAUAGUGCUAAUCUUGGUGCAAGAUAGGGGCACGGUUUGCAUGGAACAUACCAUAUCCUUGGAAAUCAAUUUGGAUGCACCCGAUGGAACUCCUUGAUGACGUCUGUCAUAUAGAAUCUCACUUUGGUCUGUUUAGAAAUAGUUUUAGUUUCGGUGCAAGAUAUGUGCAUAGUUUGCGCCUAAUGCACCAUAGUCCAAGAAACCAUUUUGGAAGCACCUGUUGGUACUUCGGUGAAGAGGCUCAAGUGGAAGCUCGAUUUGAUAUGUUUAGAGAUAGUGCUAAUCCUAAUGCAAGAUAGGUGCAUGAUAUGCAAGGAACAUACCAUAUGCUUAGAAAUCAAUUUAGACGCACCCAAUGGAACUCCUAAAUGACGUGUGCCAUAUGGAAUCUUGCUUCGGUCCGUUUGUAGACAUUGUAAGUUUUAGUGCAAGAUAGGUGCACAGUUUGCGCCUAAUGCACCAUAGUCUAAGAAACCAUAUUGGAUGCACUAUUUGGUACUCUUGGGUGAAGAGGCUCAAGUGGAAGCUUGGUUCGGUUAGUUUGGAGAUAGUGCUAAUCCUUAUGCAAGGUAGGUGCAUGGUUUGCAUGGAACAUACCAUAUGCUUGGAAAUCAAUUUGGAUGCACCCGAUGGAACUCCUUGACGACGUGUGUCAUAUGGAAUCUCGAUUCGGUCCAUUUGGAGAAAUUGUUAGUUUCGGUGCAAGAUAGGUGCACAGUUUGCACCUAAUGCACCAUAGUCUAAGAAACCAUUUUGGACGCACUUGUUGGUACUCCUAGGUGAAGGGGCUCAAGUGGAUGCUCGGUUCGGUUUGUUUGGAGAUAGUGCUAAUCUUGAUGCAAGAUAGGUGCACGGUUUGCAUGGAACAUACCAUAUGCUUGGAAAUCAAUUUGGAUGCACCCGAUGGAACUCCUUGAUGACGUCUGUCAUAUGGAAUCUCACUUUGGUGUGCUUAGAGAUAGUAUUAGUUUCAGUGCAAGAUAUGUGCACGGUUUGCGCCCAAUGCACCACAGUCUAAGAAACAAUUUUGGAAGCACCUGUUGGUACUCCUAGGUGAAGAGGCUCAAGUGGAGGCUCGGUUCGGUCUGUUUAGAGAUAGUGCUAGUCUUGAUGCAAGAUAGGUGCAUGAAUUGCAUGGAACAUACCAUAUGCUUGGAAAUAAAUUUGGAUGCACCCGAUAGAACUCCUAGAUGACGUGUGUCAUUUGGAAUCUCGGUUCGGUCCCUUUGGAGACAUUGUUAGUUUCGGUGCAAGAUAGGUGCACAGUUUGCACCUAAUGCACCAUAGUAUAAGGAACCAUUUUGGACGCAUUUGUUGGUACUCCUAGGUGAAGGGGCUCAAGUGGAUGCUAGGUUUGGUCUGUUUGGAGAUAGUGGUAAUCUUGAUGCAAGAUAGAUGCAUGGUUUGCAUGCAACGUACCAUAUGUUAAGAAAUCAAAUUAGACGCACCCAAUGGAACCCAAUGCAAGAUGACGUGUGUCAUAUGGAAUCUCGCUUCGGUCCGUUUGGAGACAAUGUUAGUUUCAGUGCAAGAUAGGUGCAUAGUUUGUGCGUAAUGCACCAUAGUCUACGAAAUCAUUUUUGACACACUUGUUUGUACUCCUAGAUGAAGAGGCUCAAGUGGAAGCUCGGUUCGGACUGUUUGGAGAUAGUGCUAAUCUUGAUGCAAGAUAGGUGCACGGUUUGCAUGGAACAUACCAUAUCCUGGGAAAUCAAUUUGGAUGCACCCGAUGGAACUCCUUGAUGACGUGUGUCAUAUGGAAUCUCACUUUGGUCUGUUUAGAAAUAGUGUUAGUUUUGGUGCAAGAUAUGUGCAUGGUUUGCGCCUAAUGCACCAUAGUCUAAGAAACCAUUUUGGAAGCACCUGUUGGUACUUCGGUGAAGAGGCUCAAGUGGAAGCUCGAUUGGAUAUGUUUGGAGAUAGUGCUAAUCAUGAUGCAAGAUAGGUCCAUGAUUUGCAAGGAACAUACCAUAUGCUUAGAAAUCAAUUUGGACGCACCAAAUGGAACUCCUGAAUGACGUGUGCCAUAUGGAAUCUUGCUUCGGUCCAUUUGUAGACAUUGUAAGUUUUAGUGCAAGAUAGGUGCACAGUUUGCGCCUAAUGCACUAUAGUCUAAGAAACCAUUUUGGAUGCACUAUUUGGUACUCUUGGGUGAAGAGGCUCAAGUGGAAGCUUGGUUCGGUCAGUUUGGAGAUAGUGCUAAUCCUUAUGCAAGGUAGGUGCAUGGUUUGGAUCGAACAUACCAUAUGCUUGGAGAUCAAUUUGGAUGCACCCGAUGGAACUCCUUGACGACGUGUGUCAUAUGGAAUCUCGUUUUGAUCCAUUUGGAGAAAUUGUUAGUUUCAUUGCAAGAUAGGUGCACAGUUUGCACCUAAUGCACCAUAGUCUAAGAAACCAUUUUGGACGCACUUGUUGGUACUCCUAGGUGAAGGGGCUCAAGUGGAUGCUCGGUUCGGUCUAUUUGGAGAUAGUGCUAAUCUUGAUGCAAGAUAGGUGCGAUGUUUGCAUGGAACAUACCAUAUGCUUGGAAAUCAAUUUGGAUGCACCCGAUGGAACUCCUUGAUGACGUCUGUCAUAUGGAAUCUCACUUUGGUGUGCUUAGAGAUAGUAUUAGUUUCAGUGCAAGAUAUGUGCACGGUUUGCGCCUAAUGCACCAAAGUCUAAGAAACCAUUUUGGAAGCACCUAUUGGUACUCUUAGGUGAAGAGGCUCAAGUGGAGGCUCGGUUCGGUAUGUUUAGAGAUAGUGCUAGUCUUGAUGCAAGAUAGGUGCAUGAUUUGCAUGGAACAUACCAUAUGCUUGGAAAUCAAUUUGGAUGCACCCGAUGGAACUCCUUGAUGACGUGUGUCAUUUGCAAUCUCGCUUCGGUCCAUUUGGAGACAUUGUUAGUUUCAGUGCAAGAUAGGUGCACAGUUUGCACCUAAUGCACCAUAGUCUAAGAAACCAUUUUGGACGCAUUUGUUGGUAUUCCUAGGUGAAGAGGCUCAAGUGGAUGCUAGGUUUGGUCUGUUUGGAGAUAGUGCUAAUCUUGAUGCAAGAUAGAUGCAUGGUUUGCAUGGAACAUACGAUAUGCUUAGAAAUCAAUUAGGUCGCACCUGAUAUAACUCCUUGAUGAUUUGUGUCAUAUGGAAUCUUGCUUUGGUUUGUUUAGAGACAAAGUUAGUUUUGGUAGAAGAUAUGUGCACGGUUUACGCCUAAUGCACCAUAGGCUAAGAAACCAUUUUAGACGCACCCGAUGGUACUCAAUGCAAGAUGACGUGUGUCAUAUGGAUUCUCGCUUCGGUCUGUUUGGAGACAAUGUUAGUUUCAGUGCAAGAUAGGUGCAUAGUUUGUGUGUAAUGCACCAUAGUCUAAGAAACCAUUUUUGACACACUUGUUUGUACUCCUAGAUGAAGAGGCUCAAGUGGAAGCUCGGUUUGGUCUGUUUGGAGAUAGUGCUAAUCUUGAUGCAAGAUAGAUGCACGGUUUGCAUGGAACAUAGCAUAUCCUUGGAAAUCAAUUUGGAUGCACCCGAUGGAACUCCUUGAUGACGUGUGUCAUAUGGAAUCUCACUUUAGUCUGUUUAGAAAUACUGUUAGUUUCGGUGCAAGAUAUGUGCAUGGUUUGCGCCUAAUGCACCAUAGUCUAAGAAACCAUUUUGGAAGCACCUGUUGGUACUUCGGUGAAGAGGCUCAGGUGGAAGCUCGAUUGGAUAUGUUUGGAGAUAGUGCUAAUCCUGAUGCAAGAUAGGUGCAUGAUUUGCAAGGAACAUACCAUAUGCUUAGAAAUCAAUUUGGACGCACCAAAUGGAACUCCUGAAUGACGUGUGCCAUAUGGAAUCUUGCUUCGGUCUGUUUGUAGACAUUGUAAGUUUUAGUGCAAGAUAGGUGCACAGUUUGCGCCUAAUGCACUAUAGUCUAAGAAACCAUUUUGGAUGCACUAUUUGGUACUCUUGGGUGAAGAGGCUCAAGUGGAAGCUUGGUUCGGUCAGUUUGGAGAUAGUGCUAAUCCUUAUGCAAGGUAGGUGCAUGGUUUGGAUCGAACAUACCAUAUGCUUGGAGAUCAAUUUGGAUGCACCCGAUGGAACUCCUUGACGACGUGUGUCAUAUGGAAUCUCGUUUUGAUCCAUUUGGAGAAAUUGUUAGUUUCAUUGCAAGAUAGGUGCACAGUUUGCACCUAAUGCACCAUAGUCUAAGAAACCAUUUUGGACGCACUUGUUGGUACUCCUAGGUGAAGGGGCUCAAGUGGAUGCUCGGUUCGGUCUAUUUGGAGAUAGUGCUAAUCUUGAUGCAAGAUAGGUGCGAUGUUUGCAUGGAACAUACCAUAUGCUUGGAAAUCAAUUUGGAUGCACCCGAUGGAACUCCUUGAUGACGUCUGUCAUAUGGAAUCUCACUUUGGUGUGCUUAGAGAUAGUAUUAGUUUCAGUGCAAGAUAUGUGCACGGUUUGCGCCUAAUGCACCAAAGUCUAAGAAACCAUUUUGGAAGCACCUAUUGGUACUCUUAGGUGAAGAGGCUCAAGUGGAGGCUCGGUUCGGUAUGUUUAGAGAUAGUGCUAGUCUUGAUGCAAGAUAGGUGCAUGAUUUGCAUGGAACAUACCAUAUGCUUGGAAAUCAAUUUGGAUGCACCCGAUGGAACUCCUUGAUGACGUGUGUCAUUUGCAAUCUCGCUUCGGUCCAUUUGGAGACAUUGUUAGUUUCAGUGCAAGAUAGGUGCACAGUUUGCACCUAAUGCACCAUAGUCUAAGAAACCAUUUUGGACGCAUUUGUUGGUAUUCCUAUGUGAAGAGGCUCAAGUGGAUGCUAGGUUUGGUCUGUUUGGAGAUAGUGCUAAUCUUGAUGCAAGAUAGAUGCAUGGUUUGCAUGGAACAUACGAUAUGCUUAGAAAUCAAUUAGGUCGCACCUGAUAUAACUCCUUGAUGAUUUGUGUCAUAUGGAAUCUUGCUUUGGUUUGUUUAGAGACAAAGUUAGUUUUGGUAGAAGAUAUAUGCACGGUUUACGCCUAAUGCACCAUAGGCUAAGAAACCAUUUUAGACGCACCCGAUGGUACUCAAUGCAAGAUGACGUGUGUCAUAUGGAAUCUCGCUUCGGUCUGUUUGGAGACAAUGUUAGUUUCAGUGCAAGAUAGGUGCAUAGUUUGUGUGUAAUGCACCAUAGUCUAAGAAACCAUUUUUGACACACUUGUUUGUACUCCUAGAUGAAGAGGCUCAAGUGGAAGCUCGGUUCGGUCUGUUUGGAGAUAGUGCUAAUCUUGAUGCAAGAUAGAUGCACGGUUUGCAUGGAACAUAGCAUAUCCUUGGAAAUCAAUUUGGAUGCACCCGAUGGAACUCCUUGAUGACGUGUGUCAUAUGGAAUCUCACUUUAGUCUGUUUAGAAAUAGUGUUAGUUUCGGUGCAAGAUAUGUGCAUGGUUUGCGCCUAAUGCACCAUAGUCUAAGAAACCAUUUUGGAAGCACCUGUUGGUACUUCGGUGAAGAGGCUCAGGUGGAAGCUCAAUUGGAUAUGUUUGGAGAUAGUGCUAAUCCUGAUGCAAGAUAGGUGCAUGAUUUGCAUGGAACAUACCAUAUGCUUAGAAAUCAAUUUGGAUGCACCCAAUGGAACUCCUAAAUGACGUGUGCCAUAUGGAAUCUUGCUUCGGUCUGUUUGUAGACAUUGUAAGGUUUAGUGCAAGAUAGGUGCACAGUGUCGAGGGUAUCAGUAAGGGGUACCCUAACCAACGUACAUAACGAGAGCACCAGUACAUAAAUCAAGGCCCCCGACUCGACACCCCCUGAUCGCAUGCACGAUUGUCGAGACAAGACGAUGCCCAUAGCCUCGAACACGGAAAGAGCGUCGUGCGAAUCAAUAGGGGCUCGACCGAACAGCAGCCGUCGAAUACGGAAACUGGCUCGUACGAAUCAACAAGCCUCGAGCGCAAGGACGCCGCCCACCGCCUGACGCGGGUAUGGGAACCAGGACAUUUAAUGCGCAUGUCCUGUUCUCACCUAACCCGACAGUCAUGGGAAGCGAGAUAGGGAGCAAGCACCCAUCCAAUCACCCCUUUUGCAGCCUUGUCCACCGGAUGAGUCAGAGCUUGGCAGGGCGCAGCGAGGCGGAUGGGACGUCUCGUCACGACCCCCCUCGAGACGCCUAAAGUCAGCGCUCCAACCAGCAGGGCUUCACGCGGCGUCAGACCCUCGAGCAGGCACACUCCUUCCCUAAGAAGGGUCAGGCGGUGAAAGAUAGCGCCCCAACCACUCUGACGCGACUGAAGCCACGACAUACAGGCGUGCCCAUGGUUGAGCCAAUCCACGACGACAUGCAGAAGCCGGAUUUAGGGGCACGCAUAAUCAUCAUCCAAGUACUGGGUAACAAGACGACUCGAGGCCACGCCGGUACGGAAGUCUCGAGUAGGUCAGCGCGCCACACCCCUAUCGACCCCUACUCUGUCACCUACGCAUGUAACCUAGGUCUCCCCUUGGAACUAUAAAGGGGAAGCUCAGGAAAGGAUGAGGGACACAAGACAUACGUAGAAGAGCAAUCAUACUUCAUCUCCAUGCAUCCAUACCAUACCGACUUGUAUUCACCCCUGUACAAGCACUUAGGUGCAAGAUAAUAGAAACACCUCUCCCCCCGCUGGACGUAGGGCCUUCUCUUGCCCGAACCAGGAUAAAUCUUUGUGUCUUUUCUUGCAUCACCAUCUGGAAAGGAGAGCACGCACAAGUUUUACUCGUUGGUGUGACCCCCCGGGGGAAAAAUACUGACAUUUUGCGCGCCAGGUAGGGGUCCUGCGUGUUUUUUGCAAAUUUCCCAUCUCUUUCCAGAUGGCCACUCUUGUUUUGCCGAUUCCGCGCUCCACGGUGAUUUGGUUCGGUAGCCUCGAGUUCAUGUCUACCGGUUUCGGCUACGACAUGAUCCUGCUCUCGGUCAAAGGACCGGAAGGAGCACGCAUUGCGCCCGCACGACUGAGGGCUCCAAGACGGCCUCGCCACCAUGCCUCCCCGCCCAAGAAGAGGCGUGGAUAGCACCGCCACCACUCCUCUGCCUCCUCACGGUCACCGGCUCCUGCCAGGCGAGUGGUGACACAGGAGCCGACAACCCCACGCACCGAAGCCGUGGGUACGACGGCCCGACGUCACGAGGAUCGCGCGACGACGAUGGGUGACGACGCGCCUCGUGCGCCCUUGUCCCCCACAACGCUACUUCCACACGGGCUGUUCGCCCCAAGAAGAGCACUACCGUUCGGUCCGAACAAUGUCGCGGCGUCGCUCGCCAGGACGAUAUGUCCGAACGCCCAGACGUACGUGGAGCGACCAAUGGUCCUCCCACGCGACGCUAGAGCACAGCAGCAAGCACCCGAGCUGCCAGAUUUCUCCUAGGUGUGAGGUCUCCGACGCCUAGGACCUGGGCGAUACACGAUCACCUCAUUCAGGCAGCAGCUACUGGAGGAAAGACGAGGAUGCUUCUACGCCACCGAGCUUGACCCCGACUCGGAAUCCGACAGCUACGACCCUACUAGGGAAUGCUUCAACAUCGACGGGGAGGUAGAAACCACCGACGAAACACAAGACGCCGUCGCCGACGGACGAGCCCCUGUAGCAAGGGAGGACCCUAGGACGCCUGGGAACGACGGUUGGGUCGACCCCCCGCCGCAGGAAGACAAAGCCGCACAACUUGCACAGUUACGGGAGCUCAGAGCAAAGCUCGAUGAAGAUCGCGAGCGCCUUGUCCAGCUCGAGCUGGUCCUCGAGCAGGACCAACUACACCCGCAUGGCGGAGGUGCCCGCAGACGGGCUCGAGAAGUACAUCGACAGAUCGUCGGGGACAGGGAACCAGAGCAACCCGUCAGCCGCUUCCCCAGAGCGGGGCAGAACGUCGUGGUGGCGACGAUGCUGCUACGUAACAUGCCCUAACCCUCGAACUCCCAAGCGUGGCGAAUUCGAGAUGAGGUGCAGACUCUGCUUCAAGUAGAGGCAGUUCAGCAGGCCGAGAGCUCAGCUUCUCGACGUCGAGGAGCAGCCACGGAGAGGCAUGACGAGUCGGUCCAAAAUGAAAAGGAGGUGUCGGUCCAUCAGCAACCACCCCCUCGAGGAAAGAGGACAGCGCCUGUCCAAAACCACCCCGUCGAUAUUCAACGGCGACAUGACACACGACACGACAUCAACGAAUAUCGUCACCAUCGACAUGGGGAUGCAGAGGAGCGCGGUUACAGCGCCCACCGCGGCGGGCGAUACGACAGCGACGAGGACCGGAUGGCCCCGGAACCGCCAGGCCCUCGCGUGUUUAGCAGAGGGAUCUGCAGCACACUGCUGCCCCCAGACUAGCAUUGCUAAAUACAAUGGUGAAACCAAGCUAGAACUGUGGCUGGCGGACUUCCGGCUAGCUUGUUAGUUGGGUGGCGCUCGAGGGGACGAUCGAGCCAUCAUCCGACAGUUACCGCUUUUCCUCUCCGACACCGCCCGCAGAUGGCUCGAGGAGCUCCCAGCCAACCAAAUCCACAAUUGGACCGAUUUGGUCAGAGUAUUCGAGGGAAACUUCAAAGGGACCUACAUACGGCCUGGCAACUCGUGGGACCUCAGCAAGUGCAAGCAGAAAUCAGGAGAAACUCUCCGAGAGUAUGCCCGACGCUUUUCGAAGCAGCACACCGAGCUGCCACACAUCCCAGACCACGACAUCAUCCUGGCCUUUGUCUUAGGCACCACUUGCCGAGAUUUGGUGCAGGAAUUGGGCCGGAAUCGCCCUCAGACUGUCGACGAGAUAAUGGACGUGGUGGCAAACUAUGCUGCAGGGGAGGAAGCGGUCGGCGGUUUCUUCAGCUGCGAAGGAGGCAAAGGCAAUUCGCCAGCCGAUGACAAUGAGGGCCCCAGUCGAGGACCCAAGAAGAACAAAAAGAAGAAGAAAGCACGGCCGCUCCAACGGGAGGCCCUCGACGACGAUCUCGUCGCUGCCGUGGAGCGUAAAAAACCCUGAGGACCCCCUGAGGGGGCUAUCUUCAACAAGAUGCUAAAGGAGCCCUGCCCUUACCAUAAGGGAGGGGUGAACCACAAGCUUGAAGACUGCCGCAUGCUAAAAAGACACUUCGACGGCCUGGGAUUUAAGAAGGACGACCAGAAGAAAGAAAAGAGCAGCGACAAGGGGGACGACAAAGAAGACGAGGGUUUCCCAGCUGUCCAUGACUGCUACAUGAUUUACGGCGGACCCUCAACGCAGCUAACUGCAAGGCAGCGCAAGAGGGAGCGCCGUGAGGUCUUUGCAGCAUGGAUGGCGGUGCCCCAGUACCUCAAAUGGUCAAACACCCCCAUCACCUUCAAUCGAGACGACCAUCUCGACAAGGUAGUCGCCCCUGGCGUCUACCCACUCGUCGUCGACCCUAUCAUCGUCAACACCAGACUCUCGAAGGUGCUGAUGGAUGGCGGCAGCAGCCUGAACAUCAUCUACCUCGAGACCCCCGACCUCCUCGGCAUCGAAAGGACACAGCUCCAACCAAGCGCGGGCGGCUUCCAUGGUGUCGUACCUGGAAAGAAGGCAUUGCCAAUAGGUCGAAUCGACCUACCGGUCUGUUUUGGCACAGCGGCCAAUUUCAGAAAGGAGGUCCUCACCUUUGAGGUGGUGGGAUUUUGAGGCACAUACCACGCCAUCAUCGGGCGCCCGGGCUACCGAAGUUCAUGGCUAUCCCCAACUACACCUACCUGAAGCUGAAGAUGCCCGGGCCCAAGGGGGUCAUCACCGUCAGCUCCUCCUACGAGCAUGCAUACGAGUGCGACGUCGAGUGCGUCGAGUAUGGAGAAGCCGUCGAGAACUCCACCGACCUCGCUUCAAAGCUCGAGGCCCUUGCUGCAGAAGCCCCGGAACCCAAGCGUCGCGCGGGCAGCUUCGAGCCGGCAGAAGGCACGAAGAAGAUCCCGCUCGACCCAAACAGCUCCGACGGCAAGGUGCUGACGAUCAGCGCCGACCUCGACCCCAAAUAGGAAGCCGUGCUCGUCGACUUUCUCCGUGCAAACGCGGACAUGUUUGCAUGGAGUCCCUCGGACAUGCCAGGCAUACCGAGGGAAGUCGCCGAGCACUCCUUGGAAAUUUGAGCCGGCUCCAAGCCAGUGAAGCAGCGGCUGCGUCGCUUUGACGAGGAGAAACGCAAGAUCAUUGGCGAGGAGAUCCACAAGCUUUUGGCGGCCGGAUUCAUCAAGGAGGUUCACCAUCCCGACUGGUUAGCGAACCCUAUACUAGUUAAGAAAAAGAAUGGGAAGAUGAGGAUGUGUGUCGAUUACACGAGUUUAAAUAAAGCAUGUCCAAAAGUUCCUUUCCCUUUGCCACGCAUUGAUCAAAUUGUUGACUCUACCGCAGGAUGUAAAACCAUUUCUUUCCUUGAUGCAUACUCUGGUUACCAUCAAAUAAAAAUGAAAGAGUCCGACCUGCUCGUGACAUCUUUCAUUACGCAUUUUGGGAUGUACUGUUAUGUGACCAUGCCGUUUGGGCUCCGAAACGCUGGAGCAACAUACCAGCGAUGCAUGCUCCAUGUGUUUGGCAAGCAUAUAGGGUCGACGGUCGAGGCAUACGUCGAUGACAUUGUCGUCAAAUCGAAGAAACGAGGCGACCUGAUUCAGGACCUCGAGAUCGCUUUCGGUUGUCUAUGCGCCAACAAAAUCAAGCUCAACCCCGAGAAGUGCGUCUUUGGCGUGCCUCGAGGCAUGCUCUUGGGGUACAUGGUCUCCCAACGUGGCAUCGAGGCUAAUCCCGAGAAAGUCUCGGCCAUUGCGAGAAUGGGGCCGAUUCAAGACGUCAAGGGAGUACAAAAAGUCAAGGGGUGCCUGGCGGCACUAAGCCGCUUUAUCUCAAGGCUAGGGGAAAAAGCGUUGCCACUGUAUCGGCUGUUGAAAAAGGCUGAACGUUUCUCGUGGACCCCUAAAGCCGAGGAGGCCCUCGACAGCCUGAAGAAAACAUUGACCUCCGCCCCGGUCCUAGUUCCACCUCAGCCCACAGAACCUCUGCUUCUGUACGUAGCUGCAAUGACCCAGGUGGUCGGUGCGGCAGUGGUGGUCGAAAGACAGGAGGAAGGACAUGCGCUGCCGGUCCAGAGGCCGGUCUACUUCAUCAGCGAGGUACUAUCAGAAACCAAGGUACGGUACCCACAGAUCCAAAAACUAAUCUACGCAGUGAUCCUCGCUCGACGCAAGCUACAACACUACUUCCUUGGUCACCCAAUCACGGUGGUCUCGUCCUUCCCCUUGGGAGAGAUCAUCCGAAGUCGGGAGGCCACAGGAAGAAUCGUCAAAUGGUCGGUCGAGCUCAUGAGUGAGACCCUCACUUAUGCGGCCUGCAAAGCCAUCAAAUCUCAAGCUCUGGCGGACUUUGUCACGGAGUGGACGGACUCCCAGCUCCCCCCGGCUCAAGUUCAAGCGGAGCUGUGGACGAUGUACUUCGACGGACCUCUCAUGAAGACGGGAGCUGGGGCAGGUCUGCUGCUCAUCUCACCCCUCGGCGUCCAUAUGAGGUAUGUCAUCAGAAUACAUUUCGCCGCAUCUAACAACAUCGCGGAGUAUGAGGCCCUUGUCAACGGGCUGAAGAUCGCCAUCAAGCUAGGAGUUCGGCGCCUCGACGUUCGAGGCGACUCUUAGCUUGUCAUCGACCAAGUAAUGAAGGCCUCGAGCUGCCACGAUCCAAAAUGGAGGUAUACUGCAAGGAGGUACGUCGACUCGAGGAUAAAUUGCACGGCCUCGAGCUCGUCCACAUCGCCCGACGCUACAACGAGGCGGCCGACGAACUCGCCAAAAUCGCGUCAACUCAAGGCACGGUCCCGCCCGACGCAUGCUCGAGAGAUCUGUACGAGCCAUCCGUCGACUUGAGCUCUGGGGCUGACAUCGAAACCACCGCCCCCCAUCCAGCCAACGCUAUCGAAGCCCUGCUGGCGGCAGCAGAAGUAAUGGAAGUGGAACAGCGUCCCGGUUGACCGUUCGACUGUAACACUCUGGUGUUAAGCAGACUAAAACCUGACAUGUCAUCAUGAGCAUUGCAUCGUAAAUUUGUUAAGCACACACUGAUGCCCGAACUUAAAAUAAGUUUAAAUUUGGUUGGAUGUGCUUAAGAAUUUAAGUGUGUUUAUUUUGUACUUGGAUGCUUGUGUUAGUGUUUAAAACUCUAGUGUGAAAGGUUUCCGAGAGCUUAAGGGGGGAACCCUGUUUUUAAAACCCUGGAUUUGUCCCCUUUUGUGCAAUUCAAAAACAAAGCAAAAUUUGAAGUUGAGUUCAAAAGGAAAGUUGUAGAUCUUGUCAAGAUGUACAACUUUGGUGUUUUGAGUUUUUAAAGUUUCAGUACAAAAUUCAAAGUAAUUUUGAAAUUACAGAUUUCCGGAAAGUGUCCCCUUUUCAAACUUAUAUCUCCAAUUCAAAAUCUGUUUGGAAUUUUGAAAAAUGGUCAACAUGAAAGUUGUAGGGCUUGAAAAGUUGAACAACUUUCAUGUUGGGAGUUUUUCAAGUUGUUUUGGAAAAUCAAAAGUAAUUUUGGAAUUUCUAAUCCUGCCCCAAUUCAAAAUUGAAUUUUUCCCAAUUUGAGUUUUGAAUUUCCAACUGUUUGGCUCAAAUUCACCCCUUUCCAUUUGAAAUCAGUCUUGGACCUUUAAAGAUGUUUUGUAGCUCACAAAAUUUUGCACAAGUUUCUUUUUGGUAAAAAUUUGACUUCAGUUCACUUUUUGGUCGAAAUUUUGCAAAACAGACAAAAGGAGGGGGAUAAUCUUGGCUUCUGUUCAUGGCGGUGGACAUUCGAGUCAGGGGCGGUGAAUGCCAGCGCACGGUCACCGUUUUACCUCGUCCCAGCGCGUGCUCGCGUUCGUGGCGAUGUGGAGCAGCUGCUGGCAACCUGGAGAGCGACGUGUUUGUCCCUCUUGCGCUCGCCGACUCCAUUUUCGCCACCGGAGCACCGAGGAGCAGCACUUCGUCUCACUCCAAAUUCGUCAUCUUCGCUCCCUUCCAACCCACCAGAGAAACACCAACAGCACCGCCCUGAACUCCGCUAUCCAUUGCGCCUCUGAGCGCAAGCGCUCGUCCCUCCUAGGUCGCAACCGAGCCGCUUCUCUCCCAACUCCGGCCGAAGCGCCGCCGCGAACACCUCACCGCGGCUAGGCCUGCUCCGAGCUCCUCCGCCUCCGUCGUUUGCUUCGCUGAGAUCGCGGUGAGCCGCCGGUUCUUAUGCGCUACCUCUUUCGCGUUCUACUUGCUUGAUGUGGCCGGCAUUGGCUCGGCCGAGGUGGCCGUCUGCCGCGUCCGUGGCCGUGGCAGCUAGGGUAGGGGAGAGCGGGUGUAAAGGGGGUCUACGGGUGCGCAAGGAGCUGGGGAAGCUAGCUUGCCUCGCUGCAGAAGCCGGGAGCUCACCGGUGUUGAGUUGGAGGUCGCCGGAGCGGUGACGCGAGGUGGAAGGCGAAGCUGACGGGCGGGACCCGCCCGUCAGUGUCUGUGUGAGGGGAGGGGGGUGGCGCGCGCAGUGCCCGCUUGGGCCGAGCGGGAGCAGGCCGGCCAGCAAGCCGAGUUCCUGGGCCGCUCGUGACACAGUAGCGUUUUCUUUUUCUUUUUGUGCAGUUUUUGUUUUAUGUUUAAUUUUAUGUAUUAAAUCAUGUGCUGAUCCAAAAAUUGUGAAAAUUUUUGUAUAGCUUCCAUAAAAUGGAUAGAGCAUAAGAAAAAUGUUAGGUCUUAUUUUCUGGUAACUUUCAUAUAUAUAUAAAUUGCCUCUGUUUAUUACUAAAUAAAUCUUCCAUGAAUUUUAAUAAUUUAUGGGUGUAUCCAAAAAUCAUGAAAUUUAAUAUGUGAACUUGUGUUACUGUUGUCUAGCUUCAGGAUUAAUUUCAGCUCGGUUUGAUUAAAUAUGCUCUGUUUCUUAAUAAAGCUAUUUAAAAUAAGUAUAAAAGAAAUAGAAAUAUUUAAUCCUUUUAGGAGUUGAGUGGUAUUUUGGAUUGAUUGUCAACCAGUGGUCACUUAGCAUGAUAUGCUCCCUAGUUAUGGUUUAUUUCAUAUAAAGGAUCUUUGUGGUAUGAUGGUUUCACAACAUUGUUUUAUAAAGAUGAUAAAAUUGGUUUAAUAAUAAUCCAUGCUUUGAUAGCUAGAUUAGUUUGUUUCUUUACCAUGAAGGUAAAUUGUACUCGAGAUAAUCAUAUUUUGUUGUUAUCGUCCAAGAACAUGUAACCUGUCUUUAUCAUGCCAUGAGUAUAUCAUAAUCAUGCAUAUGCAUUUUUACGUAUAGAAUACGCUCCGGAAGAAUCUGAUCCUCAGUGGGUUGCUUCCGAGUUUGUGGAUCCUUCGGGCUUUACUGAGUUGCCGAACUUCCCUUUCGAUCAAGGCAAGCCCCGGACAUUAAACCCUUUCCUUGUAUUUUCAUAAAGUUAUUUAUAUCACUUGAGUUAAUAUGAUGCAUUAGGUGAAUAGGAGUUGAGUGAAUCCUAAUUGCUGCAUUAUCUACCUUGAUGUUUUCCAUAUUAAUCUUGAUACUUGCUUUAUGAAAAUGCUUAGUAUGCUUAGUCUUGCUUAUUAGAUAGAUUUUCAAAUGAGAAAGUUUGAAGGGUUGUUGUGGAAUACUUUUAUGGUCAAUAAUGUUUCAACUGGAGACCGGUCGGUGGACUUGCUUUAAGAAUGGAGUCUUAAAGUAGUGUCUCCAACUGUGUCGAUUAAGGACCGUUCCGUUGUUGGCCUGUUGUGAUUGAGACCUUUGAGUACAGCCCACAUGCGCUGGUAAGCCUUACCUAUAGCUAUUCCGAUACUUGAGAACGGCUAACCGCGUACUGGGAGUGGAGAGAUGGCGAGAGUAGCGUGUACCCACCUUACGGAUCUGAGAUGACCGGGAAACAUCUAGAUUGGCUGUAGGAUGGUGGUGUACCGUACUCUCGGGUGACGCUGGACCCGUUCUUGUAUGGGAGGAUCUAUAGAAACAGGUUGAUAUAUGCAAGAUUAAGUUCUACAUAUGUCGUGUGGUACUGAAUCCCCAGCUGGGUUUAAUCGAUUCGAAUCGCCGUGUUUCCUCGGAUAUGGAGCCUCAAUCCUCGUACCAUCAUCGUAGUAAUAAGUGAAUCUUUGGUAUAAGAAAGAUAUGGUUUGCUUAUGAAAGUUUGAUAAUAAUUUGGUUAGUCAUAAAUGAUAACCUUGAGUUAAAACUUGAAAGUAGGUUUUACUCUUAGUAAGCUUUUAUGCAAAAGAAAUACUUGAUCUUACUAAAAACUUUACCUUGAAUUCCUAUAGCCUGCAUACUUGAGUCUUUAUCUCUUUUAUAGUCGGUUAAGUCUUGUUGAGUACUUUUGUACUCAGGGUUUAUUAACCCCUGUUGUAGGUGAACCUUUUGAUAAUUCUUUUGAUGGUCGUUGUUACUUUACUCUUGUGGAGGAGAGUGAUGAUGAGGAAUCUGAUGUGUGACUUUGGGCAAGUAAAACUUGUUGUGUGAUCUAUGGUCUAUGUAAUAAUAAGUUCCGAACCUUUUAUGUACUAAAUACUUAUGGUUUGUAACCGUUGAACUUAAGUUUCAUUCUAUGUUAUGUAACCUUUCCGCUUUUACUCUGAUUUCCCUUAUCUAUGAAAUGUUGUAAUACUGUGAUGCUUGAUGAGGGAAUUCCUGAAAAGAAUGUAACGUGGAUGAUUCGGGUUUCCCGAGGACACCCGACAGACUUCUUGAGUUAUUUGGAACUCGUACACGCCGAUCGGAAGUCUUUGAGACAACGAUGGGUGUAUGUGGGCCACUUAAUUCAGGAGGUUCUGCCACAGCUGGUAUCAGAGCAGGUUUCCCUUAGAAAGUAUAACAGUAUUCAUUUGAAAAUUUCAAAAGCUUUUGAGUCAAACUAAAUUUCAAAUUAGUUUGGGUCCAAAUUGCUUCUAAGCUUGUCUUAUGCUUCUAACUUGUCUUAAUUCAUUCUCUAGACUUAUUCUUCUAUCUAAAUGGAUAUGUUCUUAGUAUAAUUAUGGUAAUAUUUAUAUACAAGGAACGAUGCUUAUAAUAUUAUUAUAAUAUUGCCCUAAUUAUGAAAAGAAAGUUUAUGCACUUCUAUAUUAAGUGACUAAUUUAAAGUUAAUUAUUUGUUUGAUGUAUGCUUUGUCCGUAAGUACGUUUCAUGCAUCAUUAUUGAUAACAUGUAAUUAACUUUCCUCCUUAAAGUUGUUAAUAACUAGGGAUAAUAUGUCUAUCUAAUUAUAAAACUCUAUCCCUUAACCUUGGAACAUAUAUAGUUCUAAUAUUCAAAAUAAAAAUAUUUUGGCAGAUGGCUCGUACCCGCCUAACCGCUCGCAAGUCCACCGGAGGUCGUGUCCCAAGGCACCAGUUGGCAUCAAGGGAUCCGCCACCCUCUGACAGCAGCGACAGCAGCACUGAUAACUCCAGCGAUGGAAACGGAAGUGACACUAGCGGAGGUCCUCCUUCGCCAAGGACUUACAGGCUUAUGAAGAAUGAUUUACGUCUGAUGCUCACUGACAACAUCAACAUGGAAGUUCAACUGUACCAUAUGGCGGGGUAUGUGGUCAACCUUGAGGCCUAUACCAAUAUCCUCCAUGAGGAGGUGCACCAGCUGCACAAUGCCCUCAACCCACCCGAGGCUCCUGAAGCAGCAGAGGAAGGACCAGUUGUCAUCCAAGUGGAUAGUGAUACUUCUGAGGAUGAAGCAGAAGAGCCAGGAACUCCCACUCCAGAUGAGGAUGUUACCACAAGUGGGUCGGAUAUGGAUGACGACUAGGUGUUGAGAAGGCAAGGAGUAUGACCUAGUGUAUUCUUCUGACUUUGUAACUUAGUUAGUCAGAAAACCUCUAGUAUGGGGAGUUAUGUAAAAUAGUGGUUUCAGUAGUCCUGCCCAAGAGCGGACUUGUAUGAUAAAUAAGACGAACGUGUUUGUGUUAUGUAAGUCAUGAUGUAUGAUGGUUAAGUAAGCAUGUUAAUUAAAGUGUGAUGUGUUUUUAAACAGAUGCCUGCUAACAACCAUGGAGCUAGUUCUUCCCAGGGUGGGGAUGAUUUUCCUAAUGCACCAUCAGUUCCACCCUCUUUGGCUGAUGCAAUUGCAGCAUUGGUCAAUGCAACAACUCUGUUAGCACAAAACCAGAAUGUUGGUCAGCGUGGCCGUGAUCGCAAUAACCGAGAAGAAACCACAUAUGUUGACUUCACAGAUACUCGUCCCCCAGUAUUCACAAAAGCUGAUGAACCUCUUGAAGCUGAGGAUUGGCUUCGCACUAUGGAGCAAAAGUUCAGUCUCAUCAACUGUACUGAAACCCAGAAGCCAGCUUUCGCCGCUCAGCAGCUGAGAGGAGCAGUAGGGGUUUGGUGGGAAAACUUACUGGCUGUUCAACCAGCCCGCCACCGAAUCACUUGGGGAGAAUUUAAGGAAGCCUUCAGGGCUCAUUACAUUCCCAAGGGAGUUAUGAAAAUGAAGCUCGAAGAGUUCUUAGCUCUCCAUCAGGGGGAUGAACCAGUCAUGCAGUAUAUUGGAAAGUUUAAUCAUCUGUCCCAAUAUGCGAUUGAGCAAGUCAACACUGAUGAAAAGAAGAAGGAAUGUUUCAUGAGAGGCUUGAAUACAAAGCUUCAGCUGAUGAUGGCAUCAUGUGGCAAUAUAUCUUAUCAUGAGGCAGUGAACAUUGCUAUUUCCAGUGAAGAAAAGAACCGCAAACAUAAGGAGGCUAAGAAGAAGAAGGGGUUUGUCUCAGGGUCUGGAUCAUCUGGCGGCAACAAGAAGCGCCAGAGGCUCGUAUAUCAUCCAGCUCAGCAGUUCCGCCCAUCUUAUCGUCCUUCUUAUCAGCCGCCUCAGCAGCAGAAUAUGCAGAGGAGUUUUGCAAGGCCGGCAAUGCCGUUCAAUGUUCAACGUCAGCCGAAUGCUCCUGCCAUUCGUCCGCCAGUGCCACAAGCUGCAAACAACCCUUGUUACAAUUGUGGGAAGAGUGGACAUUUUUCUCGUGAAUGUCCAUACCCAAGGCAAAAUGUUCCAAAUGUCAAUGCACCAAGACCAGUUGGAAAUCAGCAAACAAAUCAAAACAAAGGUAAUGCUCAGAAUCAGCAGAAGGGUAAGGGUACUCAGAAAACAGGAAGGGUUUUCCAUACUCAAGUUGAAGCUAUACCUGAAGGAGAACCAGUGAUGCUUGGUAUGUUCCCUGUUGCCCAACACUCAGCGCUUACACUUUUUGAUUCUGGUGCAUCACAUACUUUCAUGAAUAGAACAGUUGCGGAAAAGUAUAAUAUACCUAUUGGUGCAACCAAAGAUGAGUUCUUUAUACAGUCACCUGGGGGUCGACUAUGCACUAAGGAAAUGGUACAUCAGGUACCAAUAGACUUGGGUGGAUAUAUAUUUCUAACAUCCAUGAUAGUGUUAAAAGACCCAAGUAUAGAUGUGAUCUUGGGUAUGAACUGGAUGAGCCAGAGAGGUGCAGUUAUAGACACCUUAAAUAGAACCAUCAAGGUCAACUUACCUAAUAGCAAGUCUCAACUUCUUAUCCAUCUUCCUACCCUUAAGAGAGCAGUUGAGCAAGUGUGUGCUAUCUCUGUCAAGGAAAUCAAGGACAUUCCAGUGGUUUGUGAGUUUCCUAAUGUGUUCCCAGAGGAUUUACCUGGUCUGCCACCUGAUCGUGAUGUGGAGUUUGAAAUAGAGCUCAAGCCAGGGACAACACCAAUAUCCAGAAGAGCUUAUAGAAUGCCACCAAAAGAAUUAGCAGAAUUAAAAACUCAGUUGCAAGAAUUGAUGGAUAAAGGUUUCAUUCGACCUAGUUCGUCACCAUGGGGUUGUCCGGCAAUCUUUGUGAAGAAAAAGGACAAUACCUUGAGGUUAUGUGUGGAUUAUCGUCCUUUGAAUGAAGUAACAAUUAAGAAUAAGUAUCCUUUGCCCCGUAUUGAUCUUCUCUUUGAUCAACUAACUGGUGCUAAGGUAUUUUCGAAGAUAGACUUGAGAUCUGGGUAUCAUCAAAUUAAGAUUAAACCAAAAGAUGUUCCGAAAACAGCAUUCACUACCAGAUAUGGUUUGUAUGAAUAUCUGGUCAUGUCUUUUGGUCUGACAAAUGCCCCAGCACAUUUUAUGUAUUUGAUGAAUUCAGUGUUCAUGCCAGAGUUAGAUAAGUUCGUGGUGGUAUUCAUUGAUGACAUUCUCAUCUAUUCCAAAACUAAAGAAGAACAUGAAGAGCAUCUCAGGAUAGUGUUGACUCGCCUGAGAGAACAUCAGUUAUAUGCUAAGUUUAGCAAGUGUGAGUUCUGGAUAGAUGAAGUUCAAUUUUUGGGUCAUGUCCUGUCAGCUGAAGGUGUUGCAGUAGAUCCAAGCAAAGUUCAAGAAGUUCUUGACUGGAAGUCACCAACUUCAGUACAUCAAGUUCGGAGUUUCUUAGGAUUGGCGGGGUACUAUCGCAGAUUUACCCCUGACUUCUCCAAGAUCUCUAAACCAAUGACAACACUGCUAAAGAAUGAUACUAAGUUUGUGUGGUCAUCCGAAUGUGAAGAAGCUUUUCAGACUUUGAAAAAGUUGUUGACCACUGCACCAGUGCUAGCUCAACCUGAUAUUGAAAAAUCUUUUGAUGUGUAUUGUGAUGCUUCAGGCAAAGGAAUUGGGUGUGUACUCAUGCAAGAAGGCAGAGUCAUUGCUUAUGCUUCACGACAACUUAAGCGUCACGAAGAGCAUUAUCCAACCCAUGAUCUAGAGUUGGCAGCUGUAGUCCAUGCUCUGAAGAUCUGGCGACACUAUCUGCUGGGUAAUACUUGUCACAUAUACACUGAUCAUAAGAGUUUGAAAUACAUCUUCACUCAGUCAGAAUUGAAUAUGCGUCAGAGAAGGUGGUUAGAACUGAUAAAAGAUUAUGAUAUUGAAGUACACUAUCACCCAGGCAAAGCCAAUGUAGUGGCAGAUGCACUCAGUCGAAAGAGUCAUUGCAAUUGUGUGGAAGUCAAGCCUAUAGACCUUACCUUAUGUUAUGAAUUUGAAAAGUUAGGUCUUGAAAUGAUUCCACAAGGAAGUUUGACAAAUAUGACAGUUCAGUCAUCUAUCAAAGAUCAGAUUAUUACAGCCCAGAAAGAAAAUAAGGGUAUAAUAUUUUUGAAAAGAAAAGUUCAGUCUGAACAGAAUUCCAAGUUCAGAAUAGAUGAAGCUGGAGUGAUUUGGUUCAAGGAUCGGUUAGUAGUUCCAAAAGUUCCUGAACUCAGAAAACAAAUUCUUGAUGAAGCUCAUGCAACGAGAUUUUCAAUCCAUCCAGGCAGUAAUAAGAUGUAUCAGGAUCUGAAGCAAAGAUUCUGGUGGACUAAGAUGAAACUUGAAAUUGCUAGUUAUGUGGCUAAAUGCGAUACUUGUCAAAAAGUGAAAGCAAUUCAUCUUAGGUCUGCUGGAGAAUUGCAACCUUUGCCAAUUCCAUCUUGGAAGUGGGAUGACAUUAGUAUGGACUUCAUAGUGGGUCUACCCAGAACAUCGAGAGGGUUUGAUUCCAUAUGGGUCAUUGUUGAUCGUCUAACCAAAUCGGCCCAUUUCAUUCCAGUAAGAAAAGAUUAUCGAGCUUCUGACUAUGCUAAGAUAUACUUUAACAGAAUUGUGAGUUUACAUGGUGUUCCAAGGACUAUUGUAUCUGAUAGAGGGACACAAUUUGUUAAUGCUUUCUGGAAGCACUUACAUAAGUCCUUGGGUACCAAACUUUUGCAUAGUACAGCUUAUCAUCCACAGACUGGUGGCCAGACUGAAAGAGUCAACCAGAUCUUAGAAGAUAUGUUAAGAUCUUAUGUACUCAGUUAUUCAGGGAAGUGGCACGAGUGUUUGCCUUUAGCAGAAUUCUCUUACAAUAAUAGUUAUCAAGAAAGCAUUAAGAUGGCACCAUUCGAAGCUCUAUAUGGCAGAAAAUGCAGAACACCUUUGAAUUGGUCAGAACCUGGAGAACAUAGUCUCUUCGGGGUUGACUUAGUCAAAGAAGCCGAAGAGAAAGUCAGGCUCAUUCGAGAGAACAUGAAGAUAGCACAGUCCAGGCAAAAGAGUUAUGCUGAUAAGAGACGUCGAUCUCUUAGCUUUGAGGUUGGUGAUUAUGUAUACCUCAAAGUAUCACCUAUGAAAGGAGUCACUCGAUUUGGAGUAAAAGGAAAGUUGGCACCUCGAUAUAUAGGUCCAUAUCAAAUCCUCGAAAGAUGUGGAAAGGUGGCAUAUCGUCUAGAUUUACCACCCCAGUUGUUAUCAGUUCACAAUGUGUUUCAUGUCUCUCAGUUGAAGAAAUGUCUUCAAGUGCCUGAUCAUAUCAUUCCUGUUGAAGGGAUUGAGUUAAAGCCUGAUCUGACAUAUUCAGAGUAUCCUAUCAAGAUUCUGGAUCAAAAAGAUCGAGUUACUCGUAGAAGAACUAUCAAAUUUUACAAGGUGCAAUGGAAUCAACAUACCGAAGAUGAAGCCACGUGGGAGUCCGAAGAGUUUCUCCUAGAAAGUUUUCCUGAGUUUCUUUCUUCUGUCUUAUCCUUGUAAUCUGUAGAAUGAUGAUCUACCCCUGUUUUUGUAAAAGUUGGUUUUGGAAGUGCUUGACAAACUUCCUUUUCCAUUAGUUAGCCUUCAAGUUAAAUCUCGGGACGAGAUUUCUUUAAGGGGGAAAGAGCUGUAACACUCUGGUGUUAAGCAGACUAAAACCUGACAUGUCAUCAUGAGCAUUGCAUCGUAAAUUUGUUAAGCACACACUGAUGCCCGAACUUAAAAUAAGUUUAAAUUUGGUUGGAUGUGCUUAAGAAUUUAAGUGUGUUUAUUUUGUACUUGGAUGCUUGUGUUAGUGUUUAAAACUCUAGUGUGAAAGGUUUCCGAGAGCUUAAGGGGGGAACCCUGUUUUUAAAACCCUGGAUUUGUCCCCUUUUGUGCAAUUCAAAAACAAAGCAAAAUUUGAAGUUGAGUUCAAAAGAAAAGUUGUAGAUCUUGUCAAGAUGUACAACUUUGGUGUUUUGAGUUUUUAAAGUUUCAGUACAAAAUUCAAAGUAAUUUUGAAAUUACAGAUUUCCGGAAAGUGUCCCCUUUUCAAACUUAUAUCUCCAAUUCAAAAUCUGUUUGGAAUUUUGAAAAAUGGUCAACAUGAAAGUUGUAGGGCUUGAAAUUUCUAAUCCUGCCCCAAUUCAAAAUUGAAUUUUUCCCAAUUUGAGUUUUGAAUUUCCAACUGUUUGGCUCAAAUUCACCCCUUUCCAUUUGAAAUCAGUCUUGGACCUUUAAAGAUGUUUUGUAGCUCACAAAAUUUUGCACAAGUUUCUUUUUGGUAAAAAUUUGACUUCAGUUCACUUUUUGGUCGAAAUUUUGCAAAACAGACAAAAGGAGGGGGAUAAGCUUGGCUUCUGUUCAUGGCGGUGGACAUUCGAGUCAGGGGCGGUGAAUGCCAGCGCACGGUCACCGUUUUACCUCAUCCCAGCGCGUGCUCGCGUUCGUGGCGAUGUGGAGCAGCUGCUGGCAACCUGGAGAGCGACGUGUCUGUCCCUCUUGCGCUCGCCGACUCCAUUUUCGCCACCGGAGCACCGAGGAGCAGCACUUCGUCUCACUCCAAAUUCGUCAUCUUCGCUCCCUUCCAACCCACCAGAGAAACACCAACAGCACCGCCCUGAACUCCGCUAUCCAUUGCGCCUCUGAGCGCAAGCGCUCGUCCCUCCUAGGUCGCAACCGAGCCGCUUCUCUCCCAACUCCGGCCGAAGCGCCGCCGCGAACACCUCACCGCGGCUAGGCCUGCUCCGAGCUCCUCCGCCUCCGUCGUUUGCUUCGCUGAGAUCGCGGUGAGCCGCCGGUUCUUAUGCGCUACCUCUUUCGCGUUCUACUUGCUUGAUGUGGCCGGCAUUGGCUCGGCCGAGGUGGCCGUCCGCCGCGUCCGUGGCCGUGGCAGCUAGGGUAGGGGAGAGCGGGUGUAAAGGGGGUCUACGGGUGCGCAAGGAGCUGGGGAAGCUAGCUUGCCUCGCUGCAGAAGCCGGGAGCUCACCGGUGUUGAGUUGGAGGUCGCCGGAGCGGUGACGCGAGGUGGAAGGCGAAGCUGACGGGCGGGACCCGCCCGUCAGUGUCUGUGUGAGGGGAGGGGGGUGGCGCGCGCAGUGCCCGCUUGGGCCGAGCGGGAGCAGGCCGGCCAGCAAGCCGAGUUCCUGGGCCGCUCGUGACACAGUAGCGUUUUCUUUUUCUUUUUCUGCAGUUUUUGUUUUAUGUUUAAUUUUAUGUAUUAAAUCAUGUGCUGAUCCAAAAAUUGUGAAAAUUUUUGUAUAGCUUCCAUAAAAUGGAUAGAGCAUAAGAAAAAUGUUAGGUCUUAUUUUCUGGUAACUUUCAUAUAUAUAUAAAUUGCCUCUGUUUAUUACUAAAUAAAUCUUCCAUGAAUUUUAAUAAUUUAUGGGUGUAUCCAAAAAUCAUGAAAUUUAAUAUGUGAACUUGUGUUACUGUUGUCUAGCUUCAGGAUUAAUUUCAGCUCGGUUUGAUUAAAUAUGCUCUGUUUCUUAAUAAAGCUAUUUAAAAUAAGUAUAAAAGAAAUAGAAAUAUUUAAUCCUUUUAGGAGUUGAGUGGUAUUUUGGAUUGAUUGACAACCAGUGGUCACUUAGCAUGAUAUGCUCCCUGGUUAUGGUUUAUUUCAUAUAAAGGAUCUUUGUGGUAUGAUGGUUUCACAACAUUGUUUAAUAAAGAUGAUAAAAUUGGUUUAAUAAUAAUCCAUGCUUUGAUAGCUAGAUUAGUUUGUUUCUUUACCAUGAAGGUAAAUUGUACUCGAGAUAAUCAUAUUUUGUUGUUAUCGUCCAAGAACAUGUAACCUGUCUUUAUCAUGCCAUGAGUAUAUCAUAAUCAUGCAUAUGCAUUUUUACGUAUAGAAUACGCUCCGGAAGAAUCUGAUCCUCAGUGGGUUGCUUCCGAGUUUGUGGAUCCUUCGGGCUUUACUGAGUUGCCGAACUUCCCUUCCGAUCAAGGCAAGCCCCGGACAUUAAACCCUUUCCUUGUAUUUUCAUAAAGUUAUUUAUAUCACUUGAGUUAAUAUGAUGCAUUAGGUGAAUAGGAGUUGAGUGAAUCCUAAUUGCUGCAUUAUCUACCUUGAUGUUUUCCACAUUAAUCUUGAUACUUGCUUUAUGAAAAUGCUUAGUAUGCUUAGUCUUGCUUAUUAGAUAGAUUUUCAAAUGAGAAAGUUUGAAGGGUUGUUGUGGAAUACUUUUAUGGUCAAUAAUGUUUCAACUGGAGACCGGUCGGUGGACUUGCUUUAAGAAUGGAGUCUUAAAGUAGUGUCUCCAACUGUGUCGAUUAAGGACCGUUCCGUUGUUGGCCUGUUGUGAUUGAGACCUUUGAGUACAGCCCACAUGCGCUGGUAAGCCUUACCUAUAGCUAUUCCGAUACUUGAGAACGGCUAACCGCGUACUGGGAGUGGAGAGACGGCGAGAGUAGCGUGUACCCACCUUACGGAUCUGAGAUGACCGGGAAACAUCUAGAUUGGCUGUAGGAUGGUGGUGUACUGUACUCUCGGGUGACGCUGGACCCGUUCUUGUAUGGGAGGAUCUAUAGAAACAGGUUGAUAUAUGCAAGAUUAAGUUCUACAUAUGUCGUGUGGUACUGAAUCCCCAGCUGGGUUUAAUCGAUUCGAGCGUGCCAACGGCAUGAUAUUGCAGGGGCUCAAGCUAAGGAUCUACAACCAGUUGAAGAAAUUUGGCAAGAAAUGGGUCGAAGAGCUCUCUUCAGUCCUAUGGAGUCUAAGGACGACGCCUAGCAGGGCCACAAAAUAUACCCCAUUCUUCAUGGUCUACGGCUCCAAGGCUGUGCUUCCAACAGACCUAGAGUAUGGGUCACCCCGACUCAAGGCCUACAACGAGCAGACGAACAAGGAGACUCGAGAGAACGCGGUCGACCAGCUCGAGGAAGCUCGAGACAUGGCCCUCCUCAACUCCGCUAGGUACCAGCAGAAGCUUCGAUGCUAUCACGACAAGCACGUGCGCAAAAGGGAUCUGAACGUGGGCGACCUCGUCCUACGGCGGCGACAAAGCAACCAAUGACGCCACAAGCUGACCCCACCAUGGGAAGGCCCAUACGUGGUGGCUGAGGUCCUGAAGCCAGGGACGUACAAGCUCGCGGACGAAAAAGGGGCGGUCUUCACCAACUCGUGGAACAUCAAACAGCUACGUCGAUUCUACCCCUAGAGUUUCGAAGUUUAUGUUCCCAUGUACAUUAUGUUCCAAGAUACCAUGAAUGAAUGCAUGAAUAAACAAGAUCCUUUCCUCGAGUAAUUUACUUUUUCGCCGGUCAAGGUCUCGACGUUGGAAGGGAGUACCAACUAUGACCCAGCAUAGUCGAUACUCCCUCGGGGGCUAGCAGGUGGACCCCCCCAAGUUCCUAAAAACCAAACGAUUUUUUCUUUUCUAUAAGUAUACCUCGCACGGUCGAGUAGUAAAGGCACCUCGAGCCCCUUAAGGGCCGAGAGACGACGAGCCUGAGAACCCCUACGCCCCCGGGCUAUGGUAACUCUACUCACUCCCUCACCCUCGAGGCAAUCAAGGUCGCCUUAGCAAAAGACCAAACGAGGAAACAAAGGAAUUUCGAACACAAAAGAUAAACAAAUAUUCACAAAUCAUAAGGACCAAUCGAGGCACAAUGUAUCACUUAAUAAGUACUUUACAAUGGGCCUGGGCACCCAGAAUAGGCUCGCAGGCCUCAGUCCGUGUCUCGGCCCUCACCGCCAUCGUCCGCGCCCGAGCCAGUCUCGGGAGGAAGCACUUCUGGCUCGAACAGCUUCGCCAGCCUUUCCACAGGGGCCUCCGCGUCGUCGAUCAAGGCGUGGAGCCUCUCCUCGUUCUCUGCAUCGGUCUUAGAAAUAUUGGUAACGAAACCGUGGGACACCACCUCCAUAUCAUAGGAAAAGCCUGAGCAGACAACCGCCAUUGCCCGCUUCACCCCGGUAUGAAGGGCGUCCCGCACUCGGUCCCUCAGCGUGGCACUCAGGUAGCACAACUGAUCGACCAGCGCGUCGCCACGAGGCACCUCCAUCGACUCGUCCACAGGCUCGAGUUCCCAGGAGGCCGAGAGAUCGCUUAUCGCAGUCCGCAGCCGAUCGUUCAAAGCGACCUCCCCCUCGAGCUGAGCCUUGGCGGAGCGGGCAUCGACUUGAGCAGCUAGAAGCUCAUCUUUAAGCCCUACAAAGACCGACACAAAGAAAUUAGACAACACAAAACAUGCCUUGGAAAAGAAACACGAUAGGAGAAACAUACCGCGAAUCUUCUCCUCCAGAGCCGUAUUCUCGCCAACCAAGUCGGUGUUGGCCCUCUCGAUCUCCCUAUAGGAGCGCGUCAGGUCGGUGUUGGCCACUCGCAAGUCCUCGAUCGCCUUGCCCGCCUGCGCAAUAGCUCCCUGCUUCUCCAGCAGCGCCCUCUUCAGACGAUCGACCUCGUCAGAAAGCCUGCGAGAGCGAGCCCACUCUGCCUCGAGACCCUUGAGGGCCUUCUUCUUGGCCUCCUCCACGGCGCUCCGAGCGAUUUUGCUCUUCACACACUCUCCCUUCAUCUCUCGAUAGGCCUCUCGGGUAGAGGCAAGGUCAGCCUUGAUGAGACCCUUCUCCUUGUCAAGAUCGGCGGCCGCGUCCUUGUAAAAUAUGGCCUCUUCCCGGGCCUUGGACGUGGCCUCCUCUACCAUCAUGGUCCGCUCCCUCAGCUGCAUGGCCUCUUCUGCUGCCGUCCUCGAGGCUUCCCGAGCUUCCACCAAGGCAGCCUCCCUCUCCUUCUUCUCCUCCUCAAGCGCCACAAGCUCUUUGUAGGCCUUUAGGAGCUUCUCCUGUGACUCCAGGAGUUGGUCUUUGAGAAGAGGGAGCUACUCCCAUCCGCCCCUCGUCGCGUGGAUAAAACCCAACUUCAAGCGGGAGGUCUCUUUUAGAUCCUACGAACCGGUAGUCGAACAGUAAGAAUACAAAACCAAACACCCUAGAUAACUAAGAUCCAAAGACACUUACGAAAUAAGCCUGACCGAGCCCGUUGUUGACGAUGUCAGACAAGAGUCCCACCACGUGCUUCAUCCAGAGGCGGAGCUCCUCGAGAUGUUCCCACUUUUCGGCCUCCUUCCGAUCAUCCAUAAAGAUAUUAGGCUCUGAUGGAUCGGUGGAGGCCCGAAUGCGGAUCCGACCAGGGCCCCAGUUCUCCAUCUCCUCCUCCGUGCGCGCCUUGACGCCCCGGAUGAGCUCUUGGACAGUCUCGAGCGACCCCCCAUAACGUUAAAACUGGUCGAUAAGGGAGGGGAAUCGCCCGUCGUCAUCUACCGUCCUCCAGGUCUCGGUCUCGCCGCUAUCACCCCCGCCGGACGUCCCGGCUUCAUCCUCCCCAGCGGCAUUGGGAUCUUCCCACGGACGUCGAUCUCGAAGGAAUCCACGAGCGAUCCCCUCGAUGCCAUAGAUCAUGCCCUUGAUCUCUGACUGAGGGUCCGCAGGGGUGCGCAUGGCGCAGGAAAGCACCACCACUCCGUCUGCUCGCCCUGGCUCAGCCGGGAUAGAAGCAGGCGCUCUCAGACGGAGCCACACAGGGGUCGGCGGACCAUAAACCGGCAGACCCUCCUCUCCGGUCUCAGGCCUCUACGGCGACGGCAGCACCGGCUGGGGCGGGCUUCGUGGUGGUGGGUCGAGCAGCUCUUCUAACUGCUGACCCUCUUGUUGUUACUGCCUCUAGAGUUCCAGCAGCUCUUGCUGCCGGUGUUGCUCUAGCAGCUCCUCGAGCCGUUCUCCUUGUUGCCGCCACCCUUCCUCUUCUUCUUCUUCUUCUCCUUCCCGUCACGGCUGUUGCUGCUUCUCCGGCAGCUGUUGCUGCUCCUGCAGCUGUUGCUUCUCCUGCAGCUGUUGCUGCUCCUCCCGCUCACGCUCUUCUUCUUCCUUCUUCCUCCUCUCCUCGACGGAGUGGAGCCCGAUGGGCCAAGGCGUCCGCUUUGUGGGAGAAGCCUCGACCUCCUCAUCUACGGUGUGGGCAUCCUUCGAGGAACGAGCACCACUGGACCCACCACUAACGGUAAUGGGAUUCCCUAUGCCCCCAGACUGGGGAGGCUCGGGGGCUCCCCCUGCUCUUGGGCACGAGGCGCCUCGAUUCGCCUUGGUGACGACGGGGCGAUCUCUCCCGCUGAUGGACGAGGCGGGAUGCUCUCGACGCCCGUCGAUGGCCGAGGUUCGGACGAACCUGUGUGCGUUCAAAAAUGAUACAUCAGCCAUCGAAGAACUCAACACAAGAAUCACCCAGCGCCAGUACCACUGGAAGGAGAACCAACCACUCACCCGAGUCUUUGGGAGCCGCCCCCACCUUGAGCUUCUUGGCCAUCGAGGGUUGGGCCUGUUCGAGCGGCCGCUUCAACUUGAGGAAAGGGAAAUAACAUAAGAGGAGCCGUAACCCGAGAAAAUGCGAAGACAUCGGAAGACAAGAAUCACGACGCUAAGAUCUUACCCCACAGGAAGAGCGACCCGCCUGCCAGCACCCCGACCGGCUAGCUUCGAGCUGCCUCACGUCAAGACCCAAGGCCUCUCACGGGCGGGCGCAGGCUUAGGCUCGGCGUCUCCCGUCUGGCGUGCGCCAGAACUAGAACUCCCACGACCUACCUCGCCCUGGCUUGAGGCCGUCACGGCAGCACGACCGCGAGUCAGUGGCCCCGUCGUCAUGGUCUUAACUCGAUGGCCCGCCCCAGACGCAGGAGGAGGUUGCGGGUGGGAGACGGUCUGACCCUGCGCAGGCAUAGGGGGGUAUCAGAGCGAGAGCGGCGUAGAGAGGGCUCCCUUCGUUGAUCGUCACGGGACCCGCUUGACGCCCCCUUAGGGGCCCCCGUCCGCGGAACGUCGACGUCGGCCUGUGGCGGGCCCUCGAGGAUUUUGUCCAGGCGAGCCGCCAUCCCCUCGGAGUCGUCGCUAUCGUCGUCCCCGUCGUUGCCAUCGUCUUCGUCAAGAGAUUCCUCCUCAAAUUCUCCCCUCUGCCUCGACUUCGCGCGGCGUUUCUCGAGCGCUUGUCGCUCGAGAUUCUUCUUCUUUUCCUUUUUCUUUUCUAAAUCCUUCUCGGAUUUCUGUUUCUCCGUGGACUCGCGCCUCUUAUCACGAUCGGUGUCGUUCUCUUUUACCGGAGGUCUCGAGGACCGAGCGUUGAUCGAGCCCUAAGAAAACGGAAGUAAGUCCCAGAAAAAGACGAAAAGAUAAGUGUCGAAUAACGACAGAGAAAGGCUCACCAGGUCAACCGACCCCUCAUCGGGCCUCAUGGGGAAGCCGUUGACCCGCUCAGGCUGAAAAUCACCUGCGACGGUCGCUCGGACUCUGGCGGCGACCUCGUCAUCCGUGGGCGCCACAUUAGACAUCCGGCACAUCUCGAGGUCGCGAGAUGAAACGCCAGGGCCCAUCUGGUCCAUCCUCAGCGGCCGAGACAUCAACGGGAAUACCCGUCGAUGGUGGACGACCGAGAGGACAAGCACAGCGGUCAGGCCGUCCUCACGAAGUUUCUUCAAGGCGUCGAGGAUGGGACGGAGCUGCGAUUGGAGGGUCUUGACGACGCCAUAGUUCUAGUGGUCCGGAUGCUCCGAGAUCAAGCGCCCGGUGUAGUCGGGGAAGAGGUCGUCGUCAUUCCGCAGGUAGAACCACUGGGAGUCCCACCCGGCGUGGUUCGACGUAAGCCCGACCGGGAUGUACUCUCGAGGCUCCUCCGCCUUGCCAGUCUUCAGCACCAGGUUGAGGCAGCCGGCCCGCACCGGCUUCCUCACCCCUGUGGUCCCACUAGGGGCAUUGAAGAGCUCGCCCCGGUACAGGUGGAGCCACAGGUCCCAGUGCGGCAUCAUCCCAAGGUAGCCCUUGCACACCGCUGCGAAAACUGCCGCGGCGGUGAUGGCAUUCGGUGAAAAGUGCUGGAGCUCCACACCAUAAUGGUGGCAGAGCGCCCCCAUAAAACGGCUCGAAGGGGAGCCCAGGCCGUGGCGGUGGAACUUGGCGAAGGAGACCACGUAGCCCUUCGGCGGUCUUGGUUUCCGGUGGUCCGCCGCUGGCGCGAUCCACUCCGGCCGCGACGAGGAAACGCGGGGGUGCAGGAGCUCCUCCCUCUCGAGCUCCAACAGCCGGCGCUCCGUCAUCGACGAUGGGCGCCAGUCGUCGACAGCGAUGAGUCUCACCGGCAUCUUGAAAAAGGCGAGAAGGCGAUGUGUGCUCGAGGGUGCGCGCGCGUGGAGACGGAGAGAAGGCAGAGGCAAGAGCAAAGGCGGAAGGCGGAAGACAGAAGGAGUAACGGCUGGGAGAUCCGGCGAUAUUUAUAGGCGGCUAGCCCCCAACGGACAGAUCCGGCGGAUACGGUAAUUCCCCUAGUAGUAAAUAAAUGCGCCGCCUAACGGUCCUUGCUUCUCUCACUGACAGGGCACUACAAAUUCCAUGAAGCUACAGUACCGCAACGGCUCCCGCCUGAAAAGGCGCGCCCAUCGGGCAAAACCUUCCCCUGCAAGCUAAGGUAUGUGUUGACGGUCCUUAAGUAUCAAAUUUAAUUAUCAAAUAAACAAAGAAAAGGAUCCAAAUGAAAUCAACAUCUAGACUUAGGGUUUUAUCUGAUAGAAUUCCAUGAGUUUUGGUGUUUGUCUAUUUCUAUAGGGGGUUAUCAGGAAAUACGGAAGAAAGGCCCACACAUCGGGAUUACAUAGAGAUAUUAACGUGCCGCGCAAUUAUCUUACAUCUAGAAGACUCCAGAAGCCACGAGACCGAAGCGGAGAGGAAACGGGGCCAGAGGCAGGGCGCCCACCCUCCUGCCCUAGGCGCCCACCCCCUCUGAGAGUCCAAUCAGGACUCUGCUUCGUGGGAGAUCUCCACCGACCUAAAGGAUCAAGGAUAACCGUUCAAUCAAUGUCGGUUUGAUCCGACGGCCCAGGUUCACUUGAGGGGACUAUAUAACCAGACCCCCUGGCCCCUGGAGGAGGCACCCCUUGAUCAUUAUUCAUUAUUCAUAGACAGAGCAAAAGCUAGGGUUUAGAGAUGAGAGCUCUCCUCUCUUCUCUAAACUAGAGUAGAUCUAGAUAGUAGCGAGAUGGAGAGCGAAGGAGGAUUAGAGGAGAGGCCGGCCUGUCGGUUCUUCCUCCGGUUGUACUUCGUCAUGAUCAAGCUCUAAUCAAGCUUGCUCAUGGGAUGACUCUGGUAAUCUACUUCUAAUUCAUUAUGCAAUUACUAAUCAUGUAUGUUCUGGUUCACAACUCUUUUGAGUACUUCUAAUCUAUAGGACGCUAUAGGUUAGAGUUGUAGUAUAGGUGUAAGCGUGGUGCUUAGAUCUAGAUUACUUGUGGAUAUCCCCUGUCUAGCUGGAUCGUGUGGUAGGCCGCGUAGGUGACAGUUACGUUGGUCCUCUGUAGUCCACCUCUCGUUAGCAGGAUGGGUAGGGUUUAUCAGCCUAUGGAUAAGCAUCCUUUGUGGUGUAAUCUUAUCACGUGGUUCGUCCCAGACAUAGACAUACCCCUUUGAAGUAGAGAAACCAUAGUUAUCCUCUCUAUUCUGCUAUCAUCGCCCAUAUACUAGAUUGCUCUACUCUCUAUUCCCAUAUUAUCACCUAUUGUUAUCUUACCUUUAAUAUUGUUCUUAUUCAAUUAUACCAUCUUUCCUAUUUACACUUAUCUAUCUAUCUUGGUUAAGUUAGAGCGUAGUUGGUUCUCCCGUUUCCUUGUGGAUACGAUAAAACCUUUAACCGGGUAAAAGCUUCAACGGUAUCCGUGCGCUUGCGGAUUAUCUGUGUGCGUAUAAAUACCAUAGUACACUCUAGUGCCUUGCUGGGGAUGACAACCUAGUAUUCAAGUGGUGUUAGCAAGUGUCAACAAGCAUUUUUGGCGCCGUUGCCGGGGAAACGGUUGCUGAGUUGACUGCGAACUAGCUUAAUCAUUUUCUAAAAAAAAUAAAAUAUAUAUAUAUAUAUAUAUUUUCCUUUUAUCCUUUGCCUCAUCUCUGCUAUUCUUUCUUCUUAUCUAAUCCUUGAUCUCUGGUCUAUCAUGAAUUCAAACAUGUCUAUCUAUGAAUUCCAUAGACCUACGGGCACACAUCUCGAACCACCAAAAUCUUUAAAGCCUAUCAUAGCAUCUAGUUUUGAGAUAGACCCCGAAUACAUAGAAUUUGUUCAAAAACAACCUUUCUCAGGAGAAGGUGAGGAAAACCCAUACACACACCUAAGAGAGUUUUAUAGAGUCUGUGACCUCCUUCGCAUAGAAGGAAUGUCCGAUGAGACCCUUAAAUGGAAGCUCUUUCUGUUCUCUUUAACGGGAAAAGCUAGACAUUGGUACAAACUCAAAGUAGGGAGUGUUCAUGGAGAUUGGAAGGAGUUACAUAAUAGUUUUCUUUUAAAAUAUUUUCCAAUCUCCAAAGUGGUGGAACUUCGGCGUGAGAUUCUUUCUUUUAGACAACUAGAAGAAGAAUCUCUUGGCAAAUCAUGGGACCGCUUUAUUAACCUUACUCUCACUGGCCCAAAGCUUUCUAUUCCAGAAGAAGUUCUUCUAAUUCAUUUUUUGAGGGCCUUAGUAGGGAAGAUAAGAAAACCCUUCAUGUGGCCUCUGGAGGAUCUUUCCACCACCUAUCCGCUAGUGAAGCUUGGAAUUUGAUUUAUUUAAUGAGCGGAAAGUCUCCUAGCUUUUAUAUCCCUAAGAAAGAGACAGAACCAGUUCCUAGACAAAAAGAAGAAGUUUCGAUAGCCAGAUCACAACCACUUCAAUUCCAAACUUUAGCUAUCAAUCAUAAACCAUCAAUACCCCAAAAUUCUCUAAGGGAGGAAGGAAUUCUGACCUUAAAUCUUUCAGAUGCUGAUGGUUUAGACUUCUGGUUCCAUAAGAGACCUUCAAGCAAGGAUAAUUCAAAUCCUUGCAAUAAUGUUUCUCUUAGAGAAUGUCCUGGUUCCUGUUAUGAAGAAGUCGAGGAUGACAUAUCAAGUGAAGGAGAGCUAAGCCAUAUAGAAAAUUCUAUCAGCUCCCCUUUCCUGAUCACAAGUUCCAAAUGGCUAGAAUGUGUAGAAUGGAUGGAUAAGGAAGAAGCCUUAAUGGAUUCUGACUUUGGCUCAAUUUCAAAUGGUGAGUUCUUGACUCCCUUUGAAGAUGAGAUUCAUCCAACUACAGAAGAGGACAUAGGUGAGACCAAUCCAGGAGAUACUCCGAACAUUCAGAUUGGAGACGAAGAUAACAUUAAUGAGCUUGGAAUUUAUUUCAUAGCCAUUUCAUUCACUCCAUGCUCAUAUGCAACAUCUUCCCAAUCUAUUGGUCUCUCCAACAUCACCACAUUUGAGAUCUCCAACCCCCUCUUCCUUUCUAUUUAUAAAAACUUUAAAAGGGUGGUUGUCGAUGCAUAUGUCUAUAAUAAAUAUUGCAGAUCUCGUUGAGUUGAUCUUGAUUUAGGUCAGCGUUGGAAGGGAAACCACUUCGCCGACAUAAAUUGAUGGUUUCCCAAGGACAAGCUUGGUGUCCUAAAAUAAGCACUGAUCAGAUCAUAACAUGAGUUUUUAAUUAUUUGCAACAUUACCUUGUGUAUUGAGCAUAUAAGGAUAAUUGUAAAAAUAUUCCUUCGGGUAUUCUUGUCACUAACCUUUCCAGGAUUGGAACAAGAAGAUCAGAUGAAUGACAAGCAAGUACAAGGUAUGUCCAACCAAUCAUCAUGCAACACUGAAUUAAAUUCAUCCAAACUUGAAUUCUGCAAAAUUCAAGCUUGGGGGAGUACUUUACAUAAAAACAUCCUUUGCCAUGUUGCUAUGUUGGUUGUCCCUACCUUUGAGACAUGCUCAAUUUGUUAAAUACUAAUCACACUACUUCAUCUCCACUUGAGUAGAUCUCUAUAAAUGCUGUCAUGUUACCUUUGUCUAUUUACUAGUAAGUGUUAGUUUGGAAGUACUGCACAUACUUCUAUUGGCUUUUAAAUUAAGCAUGGUGCUUAGGUUAAACAGCCUUCCUUAAUCUGAUUAGACAUGGAGUCUAGUUCGGUUAUUGAACUAAAAACUGCUUGUGUAGACAUUGGUAUAUUUUUGUCGGACUAACCCCUGCAGAAAAACUUUCAAUAUCAACCUAGGAAGUCCUGAGAGAAACUCAUCUCAGAGAUGAAGAAAGUGACACAUGAAGUUUAACAAUUUACACAAGGAAGACGUAGCUCAUAAGAGAUGAUCCAUGGAGGGUGCCACAAACACGAUACACAACCACUACGAAUGGGAAGCUUCCACAAGGUAAGAUGGUACCAUCACUCUUCAAUUAAGGUAACAUCUUAAGAUAUCUGACUAUCACUUUUAUAAGCUUCUCCUUGGUUCUAGCGUUCACAUAAAUAAAGAGACAAACAUGUAUGAUUUAUAAAUCCAAAUUAACCAACCCAACUGAUUCAGCAUGUUUAGUCCUUUAAUCUUUGUUCUUAGUACUACCUCCAUGAUCCCACACUCCUAAUCAUAUGAGCUAAAAUGUUACACAUUCAAUCAUUGAGAGAUAUAAAGAAAAAGACAUAUACAUAGAUAGAUUAUCUUUCCAUAAGGUUGAGCGAUCUGAUCUGACAAAUGUUAUAAGUGCUACACUCAUGAACUUUUCAUCCAUCAACUUUGUCUUGCUCACUAUGCUUAGGGUUAGAGAAGAACAAAUACACUUUAGGUUCUGUUGGUGUUUUCCACCAACAGGACCCAUGCACUUGAUCUCUGCCUUAUCUCUAUGAGCAGGUACACUUCGAGCAAAACACGGAGGAGUUUUAUAACUCUCAGACUCUACCAAGUGAAGGACCUGGAUCUACGAGCACAAACACACUGAGCAGGAUACUGCCAACACCGUACUCGAACUACUGGGCAAACGAAGAGGUGCAGACGUCAAGGUCCGCACCUGAAUCAAAUGACGCACCUGAAGAAUGAACACGGUGAGAAGUCUUGUUAAGAAGACUUAAAACAUUGAACCCUUGCCGAAAGGUAAGAUCAGUAGUUAUCCAUAUUUAUCCUUUCUGCAUUCCCUUUUCCCUUUAAUUAUUUACUUUCCUUAAAUAGAUUAUUAGUUAAUCAUGCUAUCUUGAAAAGAAAAUAAAAAUGUUAAAAAAUACUAAGCCCCAUGUGAGUAUAUGAGUGGCAUAAAACCCAUAAGUACCUUCACUGUGGUGGCAUAAAAAUAAAAUAAAUAUUUCUUUUCUGCUUUAUAAAAUAAAAAUAUAAAAAUAGGGAGUAAUAUUUAUUGAGGAAGCUCAACAUGAUGAAGGCUAGAUAUUUAUGCUAACACUUAAUUAGUUCCACAAGCUUUGUUGUCUAUUUGAGCUCCACAGAAUUUAAGAAUCAAGAAGACUAGCAGACGGAGGACAUUCUAAUCGCUGUCAGAAUGCUGCUGACUUUCAAAUACACCUCUGCCACCUGCUAGCUACAUCAAGAGAAAUUACGUUAAAAUUCAGCUUGGGGGUGAAGGCUAGAUAUUUAUGCUAACACUUAAUUAGUUCCACAAGCUUUGUUGUCUAUUUGAGCUCCACAGAAUUUAAGAAUCAAGAAGUAGCAGACGGAGGACAUUCUAUUCGCUGUCAGAAUGCUGCUCACUUUCAAAUACACCUCUGCCACCUGCUAGCUACAUCAAGAGAAAUUACGUCAAAAUUCAGCUUGGGGGAGAGCACCCCCAUUUAUCUCGCUAAGUAUUUCUACCUAUCUUUAUACUUAUAUUAUGUUAGAAUAUUAAAAUACAUAAACUAUGAAAAACCAAAUAAAGAUUUUGUGCUUAUAUAUAUAUAUAUAUAUAUAUAUCUUUUGCUUAGUGUGUUUAAUAAAUAAAUAAAGUGGCUAUGCUAAUCUGAAUCUUAAUAAUAAAACUCUAGCAUGGAUAUGAUGAAUAGUUGCUCUGCCUAAUUCGCAAAUUUGAAGUUCUCUCUCAAGUUUAGACAUAACUGUUAUAAUUUAAAGCUUGCUCUAGAUCUAAACUUGUGGGAUGAAAACUUGAUCUGAAAUCUAAGUUGUUAACGGAUAUGAUAUGGGAAGGUUGAGCUGCUGUUUAUCUGUUCCUAGAGAUGCUAGAAUUCUGGAGAAUUUUAUCUUUGAAAAAUCUUUAAAAUAUUGCAUGAUGAGUUCCUGUAUGAUGAGAGUUUAAAUUCCUACCACAGCCAUAUAUACAUGCUUGCUAGACUUUGAGCCACACAUUUACUAUUUACUGCUUAUGAGCAUUGAGUGUGGUCAAGCUGUGUAGACCCUUAGGAGCUUGUCAUGUGGUUAAAUCAAGAUUCACUUGCACGUUCACUCAUAUAUGCUACUUCUACUCCGGAAGUACCAUCCACAUAUAUCCAUCCAUGUCCAUCUCCAGAACCACCCAAAAAUAUUCUACUCCUAAUCCGGGAGAGAAUAGCCAAAAAUAUUUUUGUUUUCCCUUGUGAAAUAGAUGCUCAAGUUAUCUUGCUACUACCACUUGCUAUAUUAUCUCAAGAGAUGAGUGCUCUGAAAAAAAAGAAGAAAAGAGAAGAAAAAAAAUAAAUGAGGAAAUAAAAAGGGGCAAGUGCCCGGAACCUCGAAAGAAAGAAAAAGUGAGACGAGAGGUAAAAAUGGACAAGUGUCCGACAGUAGAAUUAGGGGUACAAGAUACCCAUCUGAGAGGAAAGAAAAAGAAGAGCAUCUCAUUCUCCUCAUAAAGUUUUAAAAAGCAAGAAAGGUAUGUAUCCCCUCAAAAGAGCAAAAGUAGAAUUAGACUUUCACCAUUGUUAUCACCAUCAUCACCAUACACCAUUCAUUCGCCACACAUGCACAUCUUGAUUUGGCUUAUUGAUUUGUUUCUUUGGAUCCAUGGUUUGACUAUACAAUAAAUGUCUUGUAAGUAUGUAUACUUUAUCUCCCACCUAUGAGCUCCAGAUAUUAAAGCCUUAUUAGAGUAGGGUGAGAGAGAAGGCAAUGUCACUAUGCCUUAUACCACAAAUACCACAUAUCUUGAGAGAAGGCAUAUACCAUCACUGCCUUGGUAAGGAUCCAGAAAUACCACAAAAGAGAGAUUUAGAGAGUCAUACAAGGAACCUCUGAGUUUUAUUUGAAAAUCUGCAAAAACUCCAGAGCUAUAGCUGAUCAAGAAUAAGAGACAUGGCACUUGGCUAGACUGUUCUAUCUUUUAACUACUCAAGACAGAAGUGACGGUUACAAGUCCCAUGGUGAAAGGUAAAGUAAGUAAGUUUUAGUUCUUGACAGUUUACUCUAACUCAGAGAUAAGAUCUUAUUUAAAAGCAUGUGUACCGUCAAAUUUUUAAGAUAUUGCUACAACUUCUGAUCCAUUGCUAAGUCUAUCCUUGCUCAGGGACGAGCAAGAGGUAAGCUUGGGGGAGUUUGUUGACGGUCCUUAAGUAUCAAAUUUAAUUAUCAAAUAAACAAAGAAAAGGAUCCAAAUGAAAUCAACAUCUAGACUUAGGGUUUUAUCUGACAAAUUCCAUGAGUUUUGGUGUUUGUCUAUUUCUGCAGGGGGUUAUUAGGAAAUACGGAAAAAGGCCCACACAUCGGGAUUACAUAGAGAUAUUAACGUGCCGCGCAAUUAUCUUACAUCUAGAAGACUCCAGAAGCCACGAGACCGAAGCGGAGAGGAAACGGGGCCAGAGGCAGGGCGCCCGCCCCCUCUGAGAGUCCAAUCAGGACUCUGCUUCAUGGGAGAUCUCCACCGACCUAAAGGAUCAAGGAUAACCGUUCAAUCAAUGUCGGUUUGAUCCGACGGCCCAGGUUCACUUGAGGGGACUAUAUAACCAGACCCCCUGGCCCCUGGAGGAGGCACCCCUUGAUCAUUAUUCAUUAUUCAUAGACAGAGCAAAAGCUAGGGUUUAGAGAUGAGAGCUCUCCUCUCUUCUCUAAACUAGAGUAGAUCUAGAUAGUAGCGAGAUGGAGAGCGAAGGAGGAUUAGAGGAGAGGCCGGCCUGUCGGUUCUUCCUCCGGUUGUACUUCGUCAUGAUCAAGCUCUAAUCAAGCUUGCUCAUGGGAUGACUCUGGUAAUCUACUUCUAAUUCAUUAUGCAAUUACUAAUCAUGUAUGUUCUGGUUCACAACUCUUUUGAGUACUUCUAAUCUGUAGGACGCUAUAGGUUAGAGUUGUAGUAUAGGUGUAAGCGUGGUGCUUAGAUCUAGAUUACUUGUGGAUAUCCCUUGUCUAGCUGGAUCGUGUGGUAGGCCACGUAGGUGACAGUUACGUUGGUCCUCUGUAGUCCACCUCUCGUUAGCAGGAUGGGUAGGGUUUAUCGGCCUAUGGAUAAGCAUCCUUUGUGGUGUAAUCUUAUCACGUGGUUCGUCCCAGACAUAGACAUACCCCUUUGAAGUAGAGAAACCAUAGUUAUCCUCUCUAUUCUGCUAUCAUCGCCCAUAUACUAGAUUGCUCUACUCUGUAUUUCCAUAUUAUCACCUAUUGUUAUCUUACCUUUAAUAUUGUUCUUAUUCAAUUAUACCAUCUUUCCUAUUUACAAUUAUCUAUCUAUCUUGGUUAAGUUAGAGCGUAGUUGGUUCUCCCGUUUCCCUGUGGAUGCGAUAAAACCUUUAACCGGGUAAAAGCUUCAACGGUAUCCGUGCGCUUGCGGAUUGUCUGUGUGCGUAUAAAUACCAUAGUACACUCUAGUGCCAUGCUGGGGAUGACAACCUAGUAUUCAAGUGGUGUUAGCAAGUGUCAACAGUAUGCAUUCAUCACGAUGAAAAUCUCGAGAGGUCGCAGGCUGACCCACCGAAUGGGUUCGACAGUCGAUCUCGAGUACUAGAGUCAGAGAUGCCCAGCGAGUGGUCGAAAAGCGAGGCCCGCCUCGAGAACUCGCUGGGGAUGUCCAAGGCGAGGACGAGACGGUCGAGAGGGAUCCCCACGAAGGGAGGCAUCGAGCUGCUGGACUCUAUAGAACGAGACCAGUAACCCCGACCAUGUCGACCCCGCUUUAUGAGAACGCCUCCGGGCUACAGCUGACCCCCUCGAACGGGGCACAGGUUCUCACAAGGAUUACCCGAUAGGAGGUCAAUCUGGGGUAGAGGACGCUCGCUCCACUGGGAGUACGUCGCAAACCCGACGCUAAACCAACCGAUCGAAGCCUCUAGCUCCUCCUCCAUGACGAACACCAAGAGCGCUUCUGUCAGAUAAGACUACAUAACCCACAAAGGAGUCAAAGACUCCUCCAAGGGCUCGGGGGCUACCCCCGGGGGGGUCGCUCGCGUGACCCCACGGAAACUCGACCGAGAGCCUCUACUCGAGCGCAAAGCGCUCGAAUAGAGACUCAGGGGCUACUGUCGAGGGUAUCAGUAAGGGGUACCCUAACCAACGUACAUAACGAGAGUACCCGUACAUAAAUCGAGGCCCCAUCGACGCCCCCCCGAUCGCAUGCACGAUUGUCGAGACAAGACGACGCCCAUAGCCUCGAACACGGAAAGAGCAUCGUCCGAAUCAACAGGGGCUCGACCGAACAGCAGCCGUCGAAUACGGAAACUGGCUCGUACGAAUCAACAAGCCUCGAGCGCAAGGACGCCGCCCGUCGCCUGAUGUGGGUAUGGGAACCAGGGCAUUUAAUGCGCCUGUCGUGUUCUCACCUAACACGACAGUCACGGGAAGCGUGAUAGGGAGCAAGCACCCAUCCAAUCACCCCUUUUGCAGCCUUGUCCACCGGAUGAGUCAGAGCUUGGCAGGGCGCAGCGAGGCGGAUGGGACGUCUCGUCACGACCCCCCUCGAGACGCCUAAAGUCAGCGCUCCAACCAGCAGGGCUUCACGCGGCGUCAGACCCUCGAGCAGGCACACUCCUUCCCUAAGAAGGGUCAGGUGGUGAAAGUUAGCGCCCCAACCACUCUGACGCGACUGAAGCCACGACGUACAGGCGUGCCCACGGUUGUGCCAAUCCAGGACGACAUGCAGAAGCCGGAUUCAGGGGCACACGUAAUCAUCAUCUAAGUACUGGGUAACAAGACGGCUCGAGGCCACGCCGGUACGGAAGUCUUGAGUAUGUCAGCGCGCCACACCCCUAUCGACCCCUACUCUGUCACCUACGCAUGUAACCUAGGUCUCCCCUUGGAACUAUAAAAGGGGAAGCUCAGGAAAGGAUGAGGGACACAAGACAUAUGUAGAAGAGCAACCAUACUUCAUCUCCAUCCAUCCAUACCAUACCGACUUGUAUUCACCCAUGUACAAGCACUUAGGUGCAAGAUAAAAGAAACACCUCUCCCCCCGCUGGACGUAGGGCCUUCUCUUGCCCGAACCAGGAUAAAUCUUUGUCUCUUUUCUUGCAUCACCAUCUGGAAAGGGGAGCACGCACAAGUUUUACUCGCUGGUGUGACCCCCCGGGGGGAAAAUACCGACACACAGUUUGCGCCUAGUGCACCAUAGUCUAAGAAACCAUAUUGGAUGCACUAUUUGGUACUCUUGCGUGAAGAGGCUCAAGUGGAAGCUUGGUUCGGUCAGUUUGGAGAUAGUGCUAAUCCUUAUGCAAGGUAGGUGCAUAGUUUGCAUGGAACAUACCAUAUGCUUGGAAAUCAAUUUGGAUGCACCCGAUGGAACUCCUUGACGACGUGUGUCAUAUGGAAUCUCGCUUCGGUCCAUUUGGAGACAUUGUUAGUUUUGGUGCAAGAUAUGUGCACAGUUUGCACCUAAUGCACCAUAGUCUAAGAAACCAUUUUGGACGCACCUGUUUGUACUUCGGGGAAAGAGGCUCAAGUGGAAGCUCAGUUUGAUAUGUUUAUAGAUAGUGCUAAUCUUGAUGCAAGAUAGGUGCAUGAUUUGCAAGGAACAUACCAUAUGCUUAGAAAUCAAUUUGGACGCACCCAAUGGAACUCCUAGAUGAUGUGUGUCAUAUGGAAUCUUGCUUCGGUCCGUUUGUAGACAUUGUAAGUUUUAGUGCAAGAUAGGUGCACAGUUUGCGCCUAAUGCACCAUAGUCUAAGAAACCAUUUUGGAUGCACUAUUUGGUACUCUUGGGUGAAGAGGCUCAAGUGGAAGCUUGGUUCGGUCAGUUUGGAGAUAGUGCUAAUCCUUAUGCAAGGUAGGUGCAUGGUUUGCAUGGAACAUACCAUAUGCUUGGAAAUCAAUUUGGAUGCACCCGAUGGAACUCCUUGACGACAUGUGUCAUACGGAAUCUCGCUUCGGUCCAUUUGGAGACAUUGUUAGUUUUGGUGCAAGAUAGGUGCACAGUUUGUACCUAAUGCACCAUAGUCUAAGAAACCAUUUUGGACGCACUUGUUGGUACUCCUAGGUGAAGGGGCUCAAGUGGAUGCUCGGUUCGGUCUGUUUGGAGAUAGUGCUAAUCUUGAUGCAAGAUAGGUGCAUGGUUUGCAUGGAACAUACCAUAUGCUUGGAAAUCAAUUUGGAUGCACCCGAUGGAACUCCUUGAUGACGUCUGUCAUAUGGAAUCUCACUUUGGUCUGUUUAGAAAUAGUGUUAGUUUCAGUGCAAGAUAUGUGCAUGGUUUGCGCCUAAUGCACCAUAUAAUGCGAACCCGCUAGGGUUUUUGGCCUGAUCUUUCGAUGAGAGGCGCUGGAUAACUCGAUUAGUGGAUGGAGAUGACGUUCACGGCCCGACUACAGCCCUCAAGACCGCGCCUUAGCAACCGAUACACCACGUCCAACAGCCGUCACGAUCUUGUGGAGCGCGACAACCAGCCCCUAGGGCUCCCGUCCUGCAAGCAAUCGAAGAACUAGCAAGAACGAGGAAACAAGCACUGAAUUUGCAAGAUGAAUUGAAGGUUUUAAACUGAAUCUUAAUCAACAAUGGGGUUCCGAAGACAAGGAGACGGGCGGCUGAUCCUGCACGCGCGCCUACAAGCAAGUAGCGAAGGCUAAACUUGAUCUAAACAAAACCCAGUUGUUCAUGGCGGCUCUAGAUGUAAAUAAAUAGAGGGGAGGACGACCAAAGGGGUGCUAGAGUCAUCCUCCAACCCUAGGACGCGUCCCUAAUGGACUCAACUUGAUACAUGGGCCAUUGGUCCAAAAUAGGGUGACGCAGCACCAAAACAGAAAAAGGUGUCGGCACGAAAACAAGGACUGCGCCCGACUCAUAAGCUGCAUAGAUAUGUGGUUGGACCCAUUGGAAAGUAGACUUCAUGAGCUUUCCAACAAGUAUAGGAACGUCCCAGUUGGAGUCCAUAUGACGCCGUGGUGAUCCAUACAAGUUAGAGUUAUUUUCCAGUCCGAAUCCAACUCCCAAAACGUGUUGGGUUUGGACUCUUUGUUUCCUUGCUUUAGAAGCGACGUGGUCACUUGAUAGAGGAUGUUGUGGAGGCUUGGACCUGAUCUCCAAUCACCUUUGUUAAGUUAUCACUCUUCCCAUAUGCAAUCAGCCCUUGAAGUUGGUGUUGCCUCAAAUUCUGAAUGCAGUUGAACCUUCCCUUGCUGAUCUUGUCCAUUAUUCCUGAGCAACACGAAAGUGCACGUGUCUCCAUUGUCUAAAUAUGAUUGACAAGAGUUUAAAACUGAACUUACUUGAAGGUUGAGUUGAUGGGCACGAGCACGAGUAAGAGGACCAGCUAUAGGUUGUGUCGGAGAGGAUGUAGGACCAGCUAUAGGUUGUGCCGGAGAGGAUGUAGGAUAUGUAUCGCUGGUGGAUGUAGGAUAUGUAUCGCUGGUGUUGAUGUCCUCAUCAUCCUCCCUUUCUUGCAUUUGAGUCGUCCUCGACUCAAGCUCAUCUUCCUCACCGAAAUAAGGCUUCAAAUCUGCAAUGUUAAAUGUGGGACUAACCCCAAAAUCUGCAGGAAGAUCAAGCUUAUAUGCAUUCUCAUUAAUUCGUUGCAGCACUUUAAAAGGACCAUCAGCUCUAGGCAUCAAUUUGGAUUUUCUCAGUUCUAGAAAUCUAUCUUUUCGCAAAUGCAACCAAACCAAAUCCCCAGGUUCCAGAAUCAAUUGCUUUCUACCUUUAUCUCCAGCGCAUUUGUACUUAGCAUUCAUGCGCUCUAUGUUUUGUUUAGUGGCUUCAUGCAAUUUUAACAUCAAUUCAGCACGUUGCUUAGCAUCAAAAUUUAUUUUUUCAGAACUUGGCAAAGGCAUUAAAUCAAUAGGAGCACGUGGCAAGAAGCCAUAGACAAUCUCAAAAGGACACAUUUUUGUAGUAGAAUGCAAUGAAUGAUUAUAGGCGAACUCAAUAUGAGGCAAACAUUCUUCCCACAUCUUAAUAUUCUUCUUUAAAACAGCCCUUAACAUAGUGGAUAAAGUUCUAUUAACAACUUCAGUUUGACCAUUAGUUUGGGGAUGACAAGUGGUGGAAAAUAAAAGCUUAGUCCCCAAUUUGAACCACAAAGUCUUCCAAAAAUGACUAAGAAAUUUAGCAUCACGAUCAGAAACAAUUGUGUUGGGCACACCAUGUAAGCGAACAAUUUCUCGAAAGAACAAAUCAGCAAUAUUUGUAGCAUCAUCAGUUUUAUGACAUGGUAUAAAAUGUGCCAUCUUAGAAAAUCUAUCAACAACCACAAACACACUAUCACGUCCCCUCCUAGUCCUCGGUAGUCCCAACACAAAAUCCAUAGAUAUAUCCUCCCAAGGAGCAUUAGGAACAGGAAGAGGUAAAUACAAACCAUGGGGAUUUAACCGUGACUUUGCCUUUUGGCAUGUUGUGCAACGAGCAACAAACCUCUCCACAUCUCUCCUCAUCCUUGGCCAAAAGAAAUGACCAGCAAGUAUGUCCUCCGUCUUCUUUGCUCCAAAAUGUCCCAUCAAACCUCCUCCAUGAGCUUCCUGUAACAACAACAAACGAACAGAGCUAGCUGGAAUGCAUAGCUUGCUAGCUCUAAACACAAACCCAUCACUGACGAUGAAUUUAUUCCACCCUUUUCCAUCUUUACAAUGCAGCAACACGUCUCUAAAAUCAGCAUCAUGAACAUAUUGGUCUUUAAUUGUUUCUAACCCAAAUAUCUUGUAAUCAAGUUGAUUCAGCAAAGUAUAUCUCCGUGAUAAAGCAUCAGCAAUAAUAUUUUCCUUCCCUUUCUUGUGCUUAAUAAUAUAAGGAAAAGAUUCAAUAAAUUCAACCCAUUUUGCAUGCCUAUGAUUUAGUUUUCCUUGACUACGAAUAUGUUUCAAAGAUUCAUGAUCAGAAUGGAUAAUAAACUCUUUGGGCCACAAAUAAUGCUGCCAUGUCUCUAAUGUUCUAACAAGAGCAUAGAGUUCUUUAUCAUAAGUUGAAUAAUUGAGAACAGGCCCACUCAAUUUCUCACUAAAAUAUGCAAUAGGUUUUCCCUCUUGUAAUAAAACACCUCCCAAACCAAUUCCACUAGCAUCACAUUCAAGCUCAAAAGUCUUAUUAAAAUCAGGAAGUUGUAGGAGAGGUGCAUGAGUUAACUUAUCUUUCAACAUGUUGAAUGAAUUCUCUUGUGCUUUGCCCCAAUCAAAAGGCACCCCCUUCUUUGUAAGCUCAUUCAAUGGUGCAGCAAUGGUGCUGAAAUCCUUCACAAAACGGCGAUAGAAUCCAGCAAGUCCUAGGAAACUCCGCACCUGGGUGAUAGUAUUUGGGACAGGCCAUCCCUGUAUAGCUUCCACCUUGGCUUGAUCAACCUCAAUUCCCUGUGGAGUCACAACAUAACCAAGAAAAGACACUCGAUCGGUGCAAAAGGUGCACUUCUCAAGGUUACCAAAUAAACGUGCCUCGCGUAGUGCAUUAAAAACAGCACGUAAAUGAUCAAGAUGUUCAUCCAAUGAUUUGUUGUAAAUCAAUAUGUCAUCAAAAUAUACGACAACAAAUUUCCCAAUGAAAGCACGCAAGACCUCGUUCAUUAAUCUCAUGAAAGUACUAGGUGCAUUAGUUAAACCAAAAGGCAUGACUAACCACUCAUACAAACCGAACUUAGUUUUNNNNNNNNNNNNNNNNNNNNNNNNNNNNNNNNNNNNNNNNNNNNNNNNNNNNNNNNNNNNNNNNNNNNNNNNNNNNNNNNNNNNNNNNNNNNNNNNNNNNNNNNNNNNNNNNNNNNNNNNNNNNNNNNNNNNNNNNNNNNNNNNNNNNNNNNNNNNNNNNNNNNNNNNNNNNNNNNNNNNNNNNNNNNNNNNNNNNNNNNNNNNNNNNNNNNNNNNNNNNNNNNNNNNNNNNNNNNNNNNNNNNNNNNNNNNNNNNNNNNNNNNNNNNNNNNNNNNNNNNNNNNNNNNNNNNNNNNNNNNNNNNNNNNNNNNNNNNNNNNNNNNNNNNNNNNNNNNNNNNNNNNNNNNNNNNNNNNNNNNNNNNNNNNNNNNNNNNNNNNNNNNNNNNNNNNNNNNNNNNNNNNNNNNNNNNNNNNNNNNNNNNNNNNNNNNNNNNNNNNNNNNNNNNNNNNNNNNNNNNNNNNNNNNNNNNNNNNNNNNNNNNNNNNNNNNNNNNNNNNNNNNNNNNNNNNNNNNNNNNNNNNNNNNNNNNNNNNNNNNNNNNNNNNNNAAAAAAAGGGGGUCCAAAGAGUUUCCACGGACGGCAGUGCACGCUUUACCUGAACGUGUUAUGCCGCUAUGUUGAGAAUUUUGCGAUCAUGGUAUAGAAAAGAAUACUGAUUUGAUCUACCAUGAUGCAUAGAAUCUCUAUCAAAUUGCCAAGGUCUACCUAGCAGAAUGUUACAAGCUUGCAUAGGCACAACAUCACAUUCAACAAUAUCUUUGUAGGAUCCGAUGGAAAAAUUAAUUCUCACAAGUCUAGUUACCUUUGCCUUACCACUGUUGUUCAGCCAUUGGAUGUAGUAGGGAUGCGGGUGUGGUUUGGUGUUGAGGGCAAGCUUCUGCACCAUAUCGCUGCUUGCCAAGUUGUUGCAGCUACCUCCAUCAAUGAUCAUGCGACAAGAAUGCUCUUUGAUGACACACUUUGUUUGGAAUAAAAUGUGUCGCUGAUUUUGCUCCGCCAUCUCCAUUUGUGCACUAAGCACUCGCUGCACGAUCAAGCUCUCAUAGUGGUCCGCUUCACCUGCAUUAAUAUGUUCUUCUAUUUGAUCUUCAUUACCUGCAUGGUCAGUCGCAAGCAGUGCAAGUGUAUCCUCAUCAAAAUCACUAGCAGAUGAGUACUCACCAUCAUCCCUGACAAUCAUAACUCGCUUGUUUGGGCAGUCACGCAUCAUGUGCCCAUAUCCCUUGCACCGAUGACAUUGUAUGUUGCUUGUUCUACCCGUCGAUGCCACGGAUGAAGUACUCGCAGCAGGCUUUUGCAUCGUCUUCACAACUGAAUUGGUGGGGGCAGCUCGAGCCUUGUCACUAGAUGAUGGAGUAGAAAUACGUGUAGAUGGAGUUGAAGCCAUGUGUUGCUGCCAUGACUUAGCCUUCCCUGCAGAAAUAUUACUCCUUGCGCUAGCACGUCGUCCCUGCACUUCCCUUUCAGCUUUACAAGCAAGAUGAAACAAACGGGUUACAUUAUUGUAUUCUUUGUAAGCGAGGAUGUCCUGAAUUUCCCGAUUUAACCCACCCAAAAAUCUAGCCAUAGCCGGUUCCUCAUCCUCCUCUAGGUUACAACGCAACAUACCCGUUUGUAAUUCCUGAUAAUAUUCUUCUACACUUUUAGCACCUUGUCUUAACUGCUGCAACUUAUUUAUCAUAUCACGCGCAUAGUAAGAUGGAACAAAUCUAGCUCUCAUGGCCCUUUUCAGCGCAUCCCAAGUUCUAGGUAAGUUAUUAGGAUUUUUCUUUCCAUAUUCUAUCCACCAAACAGAAGCAAAAUCUGUAAACUCACUAGUAGCAGCCCUAACACGUGUAGUCUCAGGAAAUUCAUGACAUGCAAACUUUUGAUCAACAGCAAUCUCCCAAGUGAUGUAAGCAUCAGGGUCAUAUUUACCAUCAAAAGGGGCUAUCUUAAAUUUAAUCUUACUGAAAGCAUCAUCAUUAUUGUGUACCUCGCGUCGGCGGUUGCCACCCAUACCUCUACGGUUGUGACGAAGGCGACGUCGAUCACGAGUGUCUUGAUCAUCAUGUUCAGUAUCACCAGUGUAGUCAUCUUCAUGACUACCGUGCUCUCGAUCUCCCUCCUUUUCUUCUUUAUGCUUCUCUUUAUCUUCGGUGUGGAAAGCAUCAAAUCGCCUUAGGAGAGCAGCAAGACUUUUGUCCACACUAGCAACGGAUUCCUCCAAACUUGUGAGCUUGUUGUUUGUGGCAAUCUGCGUAGCCUCCAACUGCCCCAAGUUUUCAUUUGUCACCUGCAAGUCGUUAUCAAGUCCCUCUGUGUGCAGCUUCACUUUCCUUUCAAAAUGUUGUAUGAUGCCCUUAGUGCGAGGUGUAAGUGGUGUUUCGUUACCAUCAUCUGCCCCUGGCAUGGUUCAAAGACAAAGACAACAAAAAGGCAAGUGAAGAAAUAAAAGCCCUACAACUACUAGGAUGUAGCUACAGCAAGUCGCUCACACUCAACCUGUAACACAAGUUCUUACCAAUUCUUACCUUGCUUGACAGGAGGGGUCGUCUGCCAACAAGUGUACAGCAAUGGACGAAGUGUAUCGGUGCUGCAACACAAGACCUGUCAAGCUGUAGAGUAUGUGGAGCUAUAGGUGGGCUGAAACAAGGAACGAACUAGCACCACGUUAGUUAUAAAAGCGAGCUGAAUAAGCGUUCGACGAUGGUACUGUGCUGGUCCUAGGCUAGACCGUGCUAGAGACGCGAGCCUGGACACAAAGGAAAACCACAGCACACCCCCGAAAACAAGGUGGAAGAAACCUAAAAUCAAUAUGAAAAACAGCCCCUUUUUUUGUUUUGAAUCUUUUCUCUUUUCUUUUUUUUUCUUUUUUUUUCUUUUUUUAGGCAACCUCAAAAACUGAUUAUAUGAACAAAGGAAUACAAAAGAGCAAUUCGCUACACACACUUUUCUCUCUCUCUCUCUCUAGAGUAAGGCCGAACAAGUAUGGAGUUAUCUUUCUUUUUGGAUCACAGUUCAAUUCGGACUUCACAACAGAUUCGACAGAGAGAAGAUAUGGUAAUACUCGGCUGUGUAUAGAUGGUGACAAGAACUCGAAACUCUAAAGGACUAGACACUAAGACCAGCAACUCGACACAAAUCGAAGCAACACAAAUUCAACAAGCCCUAACUAAAACGGUACUAGCCAAGGCACAA